This 72692-nucleotide long non-coding RNA is filed under the name Lactuca sativa (garden lettuce). RNAcentral describes it as "long non-coding RNA (LSAT_LNC003096)". Lineage: Eukaryota; Viridiplantae; Streptophyta; Magnoliopsida; Asterales; Asteraceae. The record is from RNAcentral.
AGCGGAAACUCUGGGAGGAAAGGAAGAAGAUGAAACGAGCUGCCAAAAAGAAGCAAAUUGUGGUAGUGCAUGCCGCAAUAACCCCUGCUGCUGCUACUACUGCUCCGGUGGGACAGUAUGCUGGAAUUUUGCCCAAGUGCAACAAAUGCAACUACCACCACAAUGGCCCCUGCCAUGAAAUGCAGUGCUCUAACAGCCACAGGAGAGGACACACCAUCCGUUUCUGUAAGUUCCCGGCACAAACCAAUCGCCCAAGUCCCCGGCUCUGGCGCGAGCCCGACCUGCUACGGAUGUGGCGAAACAGGCCACUAUAAGAGGGACUGCCCUAAAGCGAAGAAUGCUGGAGGAGCAGGGAGGGUACUAGCUAUAGGCCACGGGGAAGCAGUUGCUGACCCGAUAGUGGUGACUGGUAUGUUCCUCCUCGAUAACUCCUAUGCAUGCAUUCUGUUCGAUAGUGGAGCGGAGCGAAGCUUCGUAAACCACAAAUUUGCUCGCAUGCUUAAACAACAACCACACACACUCAAAGAACAAUUCACAGUAGAAAUGGCUAAUGGAAAAACUAAAAGUACGAAUAGCAUAUACUUAGGUUGUACCCUAACUCUAGAUAACCAUUCAUUCCCAGUCGACCUCAUGCCGGUCUCAAUAAAAAGCUUCGACGUUAUUAUCGGCAUGGAUUGGUUAAGUCUUCAUUGUGCCGACAUCAUGUUUUACGACAAAGCAGUCCGUCUAAACCUCCCGUCUAACGAAACUCUUAUAGUCUACAACGACAAACCCGGUGCGAAUCUUUGUAUUAUAUCAAGUAUUCAAGCACAUAAAUAUAUGUGCAAGGAAUACCACGCAUUCCUUGCUCACGUCGUCGACACGAGCCUCGAAACGAAAGAACUAAAGAACAUCCCAGUAGUGAACGACUUCCCCGACAUUUUCCUAGAAGAGCUACCUGGAUUACCUCCGCAAUGACAGGUCAAGUUCAGAAUUGACUUAGUCCCAGGGGCUACCCCAGUAGCCAAGUUGCCCUACCACUUAGCACCAGCUGAGAUGCAGGAACUCUCUGGUCAACUUAACGAACUGCUCAGCAAGGGCUUUUAUAAGACCAAGUUUCUCACCUUGGGGAGCACCGGUCUUGUUCGUUAAGAAGAAAGACGGAUCAUUCCGCAUGUGUAUCGACUACAGACAACUCAACAAACUGACGGUCAAGAAUCGUUACCCUCUGCAUCGCAUUGACGAUCUAUUUGACCAACUGCAAGAGGCGAACUAUUUUUCCAAAAUUGAUCUGAGAUCCGGAGAUCACCAGUUACGAGUACUAGAGGAGAAUGUGCCAAAGACAGCCUUCCGAACUCGUUACGGACACUACGAGUUCGUGGUGAUGCCAUUCGGAUUGACCAAUGCGCCCGCAGUCUUCAUGGAUAUGAAGAAUAGAGUAUGCCGACCUUACUUGGAUCAUUUCGUCAUUGUUUUCAUUGACGACAUCCUGAUCUACUCCUGAAGUAAGGAAGAACAUGGCGAUCACCUGCGACAAGUUCUAGGGACAUUACGAAAGGAGAAACUUUAUGCGAAGUUCUCGAAAUGUGAAUUUUGGAUCCGAAGAGUCGAAUUUUUAGGACACGUGGUAAGUGAAGAGGGAAUCCACGUGGACCCAUCCAAAAUUAAAGCCAUUGAGAACUGGUCAGAACCCAAGACACCUACAGAAAUUCGUCAAUUUCUAGGUCUUGCUGGCUACUACCGCUGAUUUAUUCGGAACUUCUCCCGAAUAGCAAAACCUCUUACAUCCCUGACCCAGAAAGGCGUGGCCUUUGACUGGGAAGAGAAACAAGAGAGAGCGUUCCAAACGCUCAAGCGAGCCUUGUGCACCGCGCCAAUACUAUCCCUCCCCGAAGGGAUAGAAGACUUCGUAGUUUAUUGCGAUGCAUCGAAUCAAGGGCUCGGGUGUGUUCUGAUGCAGCGAGGUUAACUACACGACCCACGAUUUUGAACUAGGAGCAGUGGCAUUUGCUCUGAAGAUCUGGAGACAUUACUUGUAUUGAACGAAAAGCACUAUCUUUACCGACCAGAAGAUUUUACAACACAUUUUCGAUCAGAAGGAGCUCAACAUGAGACAACGACGGUGGGUCGAGCUACUCAGUGACUACGAAUGUGAUAUUCGUUAUCAUCCGGGUAAAGCCAACGUAGUAGCAGACGCCCUGAGUCGGAAGGAAUAUUCUGGUCGCAAAGUCAAGUCAUUAUCGAUAACCAUCCAUUCACACCUGACUAAGCAAAUUCAGGCGGCUCAACUUGAGGCCAUGAAACCUGAAAAUGUGUCAAGUGAAUCCCUUAGAGGAAUGGACAAGAAUUUAGAAGCCAAGGGUGACGGAGCUUUAUAUUUCAUGAACCGGAUCUGGACACCGAAACACGGUGGUUUCCGAGACUUGGUCAUGACCGAGGCGCACAACACUCGGUAUUCCGUCCACCCAGGUUCAGAUAAGAUGUAUCAGGAUCUUAAAAAGCUAUACUGGUGGCCUAAUAUGAAAGCAGAGAUUGCUACCUUCGUAAGUAAAUCCUUUACUUGCGCAAAGGUUAAGGUCGAGUACCAGAAGCCCACCGGUUUACUGUAACAACCAGAGAUUCUAGAAUGGAAGUGGUAGCGGAUCACUAUGGAUUUCAUAACCAAGUUGCCCAAGACAAUGGGUGGACUUGACACCAUAUGGGUCAUCGUUGAUAGAUUGACCAAGUCUGCACACUUCCUGCCUAUCAAAGAAACCGACAAGAUGGAGAAACUUACGAGAACAUACAUUAGGGAAAUNUACGAGAACAUACAUUAGGGAAAUCGUACGGCUACAUGGUGUACCUAUGUCCAUUAUCUCCGAUAGAGAUAGUAGGUUCACCUCAAGAUUCUGGCAAUCACUACAACAUUCCCUAGGAACAAGGCUGGACAUGAGCACAGCCUACCAUCCACAGACCGACGGACAGAGUGAGAGGACCAUCCAAACACUGGAAGAUAUGUUGCGAGCCUGUGUGAUUGACUUUGGAAAGGCAUGGGAUACUCAUUUACCCCUUGUUGAGUUUUCCUAUAAUAACAGUUAUCACACGAGCAUCAAGGCUGCUCCAUUUGAAGCCCUCUACGGCCGAAAGUGCAGAUCCCCUCUGUGCUGGGCUGAGGUGGGUAAUACCCAACUAGCCAGGGGGCAAGCUUCCGACAAUACUCUCACCGGUCCGGAGAUCAUUCGGGAAAUGACAGAGAAAAUCGUUCAGAUUCAUGAACGAUUGAAAGCCUCUAGAGACUGACAGAAGAGCUACGCUGAUAAACGAAGAAAACCUUUGGAAUUUUAGGUGGGAGACCGAGUCCGUCUCAAAGUUUCACCCUGGAAGGGAUUGAUACGCUUCGGCAAGCGUGGGAAGCUUAAUCCGAGGUACAUAGGGCCUUUCGAGAUUCUUGCAAGAGUCGGCCCCGUAGCUUACAAACUCGACCUACCCAACGCACUUCGUAACGUACAUUCUACAUUCCACGUAUCUAACUUGAAAAAGUGUCUGUCCGACGAGACUCUUGUAAUCCCAUUCGACGAGAUCGAGAUCAACGAGAGCCUCAACUUCGUGGAAGAACCGGUAGAGAUCGUGGACCUUGAGGUAAAGCAGACGAUGCAAAGUCGUAUCCCUAUCGUGAAGGUUCGCUGGAACGCCAAACGAGGACCGAAAUUCACUUGGGAACGAGAGGAUCAGAUGAAACUGAAAUACCCUCAUCUUUUCGCUUAAAUUGUUUGUAACUUCUUAUUUGCUUAAAUUCUAAUUUCAGGACGAAAUUCCUUCUAACUGGGGGAUGAUGUGAUAACCCGAAAUUUCCAUUUUGUACGAAAUAUAUCUAUUCAAUAGAAGCUAGUCCAGUUUCAAUGAAUUCCAGACUUUUCCGAAUAAGUUUGUGUACAUUAGGGUUUAUGUUUAAGGAGAUAUCAGGAGAGUGCAUGCUCCUGGGUUUGUGAAACUUGAGCAUUUCAAAACAUCAUAAUGUUAUAGUCCAAUUCUGGAAUAAAUAUAUUUUCUGCCAAAAUAUUUCAGGACUAUAAACAGAUUUCUGAACUAAAAUCAUUCAUUAUUCACAUUUCCAACUAGAGAAAAUCCAUUUUAUCUCUCAUGGAUGUACGGGUUUUCAUCCCAAAUCGUGAGUACACUUCUCUAGUUGUGUUAUAAUGCUUGUUUUAUGCUUAUUAACAUAGAUUACAUGUCAAAUAUGUGAGAUUUGGGAGUUUACCGCCCAAGAACAUUCUUGGGGAGUAAACUCCAAAAUGAAGCCUAAAGGCCAUCUAGUCCCAUUUCCUUGUUAGUUAACUAGCUUAGGGUAUUAUGUAUGAUCAUUUGAGACUAGAAAACAACCAAGAACACAUAGCUUUAGGAGUUUACGGCCCAAGAGUUUCUUGGGUAUUAUGUAUGAUCAUUUGAGACUAGAAAACAACCAAGAACACAUAGCUUUAGGAGUUUACGGCCCAAGAGUUUCUUGGACCGUAAACACAAAUUUCAAGGGCUUAAAUGUGCCCUAAUCACUCCCAAAGGCUUUAGACUUUAACCCUCAAUUACUUCUAGCUAAUUUGGAGACUUUAACAAAUCAAAAACACCCCUUAAAGGGACUUUACUGCCAUGGAACUACUCUUGGGCCGUAAACACCAAGUAAGGACACCAAAGUGUGCCUAGGGUCCCCCUUAGCCUUAAACAAAUGCAUAGAAAUUAUCCUACAUGUGCAAGAGACUUAAAAGAAUUAAAACACCCAUCCCAUGUGAGUUUACGGCCGUAAACUCUAAGGGAUAUGGUCUUUUGGCCGUAAACUCCUCAAAGGAGUAUUUUCUAUGCCCUAAACUACCCAAAGGAUUAAACCACCAAGUUAGGCUUAUUCUAGAAAUCAAAUAACACUUCAAAACACCAAUUACCACCAAGAUUGGAGUUCACGGCCGUAAACUCAAGGGUUUACGACCGUAAACUCCUUGUGUGGGGUUUAUUGAGUAGUAAACACUUAUAUAAGGCCCUUUGGUACAUUAAACCCCUUUAGCCUUGUCCCAUAACAACUUAGAUGCAACCAUUAGGACCUAUAACACUUAUACAAAGUGUUUACAUGUUCCUAAGUGUCCCAACUUAUUUCAUUAAGUUAUUAUUUGGCUAAUUAGUUAUAUAUAUGCUUAUUAUAUGAUAACUAGGCUCGUGCGUGUGAACAAGUCUCCGUUUGCCACCUAGCACGGUAUCCGACACUUCAAUCCAAUCCACUCACCACAAGUGAGUUCAUACCCCUUUAAUUAACCUUUGAAAUACUUUUAAAUGUUUUAAAUACUUUAUGGGGGGAUACAAGUUAAAUACUUAUAGUUAUUACAUCAAUCACAUGUGAUUAAUAACUAGAAAACCAAUGAUUUUAUCACUGUUCAAACUGUUUAUCAAACUGUUUUACUUCAAAAUGUUUUACAAACUCUUUUACUUAUCAAAUACUUUUAUUUAAACUUUGUUAUACUUCUUAUAAAUUGCAUGCCCAUAUAUGUAUAGAUAUAUAAGCAAUGUUUAAAGGGCUUAGGAAGGCCAUCCGCCCUAUUUCCUUUUUCUCGAUUUGGAUGUGGUCUGGUGGGAUUUCGGGUAACCGUCCGAAGGUCGUUUCAAUAUUAAUUAUAUAUCAAAUGUACAUAUAUAGACAUAAAAGUACUUCCAUAUUCAUGCGUAUUAGUUACAUCAUUAGUAAGUUACCAUCGGGGUAACACAGGAUCAUACUACUACAAUUUCUAGAUCAAUGAGUCAGUUCAUUCAUGAGUCAAUACUUAUUACUAUGAGAACAUAUACAUUACAUUACUAAGAGAACAUAUACAACUAUACUAGAAAGAGAACAUAUACAACUAUACUAGAAAGAGAACAUAUACAACUAUACUAGAAAGAGAACAUAUACAACUAUACUAGGACGAGAACAUAUACAACGAUACUAGAACAAGUAACAUUACAUUACAUAUACAUGAAUACGUUAACAAUUGUGAUCCACUGUAUGGGAGCAUGCCUUAAUUGUCAUGACCCGAGUUGUAGCCAGAGUCUCUUGAAGGGAGAGCGUGAGUUUGCGUAUAGAUCUAUACUGGAUUGACUACCCUACACCUCGCUGCUAGCUACAGCGGGACUGACAGGUCUGUGGGUGCCAAACGUCAUACCUUAUUUUUUCGACUAUACGUUGUCGUUGUUACCAGUCUAUAGUAUGGUGCAAUUUAUCACAUUAUACCUUAAUAUAAAUCCGGUUUAAGGUAGUUAGUACAGCAGCAGUUCCUAUAAUACAAAACUACAGUACUACAAUGAUUUACCCAUUACAUAUUUUUAGUGAUUAUUUCACUUAAACAUUAAUGUACAAACUAUAUUUUGUUAAAUGAUAGUUACACUUGGGAAAUUACACACUUUUACAACAAACGAGCAUACAAAACAAUUAAGCCUUGGUAGAAGGCUACUUUAAUAGAAAAUAUAGGUUUUUCUGAGGAAUUCAAACUUUUACGAACACUUACAAACAUUUGCUUACAUUUUAGAACUUAUACUUGGGAAAGGUUCAAACAUUUUUGAUAACAAACACCGACACUAAAAUACUUAUGAACUCACCAGCUUAAUGCUGAUAAACUCUUUCAAAAUAACUUGUAUUCUCGGGUCAUCAGUAGACAGGUACCGUGGCCAGCUUUUUAGAAGAUGGAGCGCAUCCAAGACUCAUCUUAUUAUUUUGAUUUAAAUUAUUUUGGUGUCUAUAACUAUACAGAACACGCUUGUAUUAAAAUUAUAUAUUUAAUGCAAUGGAUGAUGUUGUUUGCUUAUUAACAUUUACUGUGUUGUGAUACUUUACAUGACGUCCUCCGCCCCAGAAUGUUUCUGCCGUUCUUGGUUAUGGGGCGUGACACUUAUGUGUCAUCACAUGAAAAAUAGGGGCCAUAGCAGUUCAGGGCAUCCGUUGACACUCGAUAUGUACAUUAAGCGGUGAGUUCAUACCCCUACCCAUUUUCACUGUUUUUCACUGUUUUCAGGGGGGAACACAAGCAAAGUACAAGGGAUUACUUGUACUCAAAACUUAUUUUCAUGUGUGUGUUUCACAUUUUAUAUGCUUUUAACACUGAUUGUCACAACUGAUAACCGUUUGAACAUGCAGAUCACGUAAACAUAUAGUUGUGAAAUGGAUUUUAAACUGUUAUGUUUUAUAUAUAUUUCACAAAUGGUUUUCCACAUUUUAUCAGCUAAAAGCAUCACAUUAGAACCAUCGAAACAUAAAACUUGUACACUUUUUUGUCCUCGGUAACACUCCACAGAGAUACACGAGUGGAGGAUUAUCAUAUUAUUACUAGAAAAUUUAUUAGUUCUGUAUGAUUGGAGACACGUCCUCGGCGAACACUCCACAGAGAUACGUGAGUGGAGGACUGCACCCGUAACCAGAAUCUCUUGGAUAGGGAGCGUGACUUGAGUGUAUAGAUCUAUAAGGGGUUGACUACCCCACACUUGGCUGCUAGCUACAGCCGAACCGAAAUGGUUCAAGGGUGACGAAAGUCAUAAGGUGAUGUGGACUACUUAUUGCCAUAUCUAGUCUAUCGUAUGGUUAUGGAACUCGCAAUUAGGAUAACAGAGACUUACUUAAUAGUAAUAAUGAAUAACGUAAUACAUUUCACAAGAUAACCAGGCUUUCAGUAUACAUCUUUCACAUUGAUAACCAACAUUCAGGAAAGUAUGGGACUUUCCUGGGGAAACAUUGUACAUAACCAGAAAAGUGUAACAAACUGGAUAACUUUACAUCUCAGAAGGGUAAACAUGUUUUUCAGAAUACAUCUUUUACAUUUGAUGACCAAUAAUCAGGAAGGUAUGGGACUUUCCUGGGAAACAUUGUACAUAACUUGAAAAGUGUAACAAACUGGAUAACUUUACAUUUUCAUAUGGGAUUUUAUUGGUGUGUAUAACAUUUUCAGAAACAGAAAGGAAACUGGAACAUUUUCACAAAACAAAAACCGCUUUUGAACACACCAGCGUUAUGCUGAUUUUCAAACUGUUUGUGUUCUCAGGUCAGCGUUAGAACAGGUAUCCGAUGAUUCCUUUUUGCAAAGACGGAGUGCUUUGAAGUCUCUUCUUACUUUUGUUUACAUAUAUAAUGUAUCACACCUGUACAAAUUCACUUUCAAACAAAUGUAAAUUUAUUAUAUGUAAUGUAAUGGUUGAUUACUUUACUUACUAUGUGCAUUGGAUUUGAUACUCAACAUGGAGUCAACCCCGGAAAUGUUUCCGCCUUCGGUUUUCGGGGUGUGACAGUAGGAUAGGACAUUAAUUCUCCCUCAUUAAAAGUAUAAUGAUAAAUAUAUAAAGUAACUAAACUUUUAUUAAAUUCCCAAUGUUAGUUACUUUAGGAAAAAUGUGAAAUGGUGCUAAUUUAUGAAAUUACUCUUUACACCUUGUUAAGUCGUUAGUGGAGUGUGUGUUGUUAACCGGCUCACUAAUCUGGAACUGACAAUGUGUGGCAAAGGGUAACCUGGUGUUAAUUAUAGAUCAAUGGAGUGUGUGUGGUUAACUGGCACAUUGAUUACGUGGUUUGUAACAUUAGGUGUACCAAGCUAAUUUGCAUGGUUAUUCACUCCUUGAUUAUGAUCCUUGUAACCCCAGUCACAAACAUGAAGGGCACAAUCAAGAUUUAAACAUGCCAUUGAAAAGUUCAAUGAAUCUUAAAGAUCUAGGAAUUUCAAUUCCAAUUAAAACUUAAUAAUCUAUUUCGUUUUCAUGGUGGAAUUGGUAAAUCGUUAUUUACCUACCUUCAAGUAUUUUUUCAAUUGGAUUACGGCAUCCCUAUUCCCAAUUGUAGAAUAUUGUGUUGGGUCUUAGCCUUAAUAUUUCAUAUUGGAAGAAAUAUUAAGGAUAAUCAUCUAAACUAAACUUUGUUCUUCUUCUUUGACAUAUGUCUAUCCCAAACAGAUUGAUGUCACCACUGCUACUCCUGAACAAAUCGUUGAACACACUACUCAUGAGAGGGAUGCGACUAAGGUGUCGUGUCUAAUGAUUGCAACCACGACUGCUAAGCUGCGUAAGUCCUAUGAGGACUACUAUCUUUAUGAAAUGUAUCAUGACUUGAUGGAAAGAUACCAUCAAACUGCUCGGCAAGAAAGGUUUGAGAUCAUUGCCUCCAUUAUCACAACAAAAAUGAAGGAUGGUGAACUCAUCACGACCCACUUACAAAAGAUGCAGAGAUUGAUGGACCGCUUGAUAAAAUUGAAUGUCAAUUUUGAUAAAGAGUUAGCCAUAUAUAUAAUUCUAUACUCUUUACCUCCUUGUUAUGAUCAGUUUCGUAUGACUUAUCAUAUGAGCAAGGAGGAGGUCACUCCUAGCAAGCUUCAAGGCCUUUUAAGGACUGUAGAAAGCAACCUGAAAGGCAAAUCGAUUGUGUCUACUCCUACUACUACUUCUACCCCUAUUCUAGAAAUUGGACAUGGAAAGGGAAAGAAGAGGAAGGCUCCCUCCAAGAGCCGCAAGGGAUAGUCUUUUGAUGGAUCCUCUUCAAAUGGGACCUAAGCUGCUUUUGCUAAUCCCUCUUCCAAUCCGAAAGAAGCAGAGUGCUUCCACUGUCAUGAAAAGGGCACUAUAAACUCAGUUGCCCCAUGUACUUGCAGGACAUAAAGGAUGGCAAGAUCAAGCCCUUAUUUGCAGGUAUUUACACUAUUAAAUAUGAUAACUCAUCACAUGCUAAUUGUUGGAUCUUUGAUACAGGUUGUGGAAUUCACAUUUGUUCUGAUUUACAGGGACUAAAAAGAAGUAGGGAUGUGGAUCACGGGAAGAUAAAGUUAAUCAUGGGAAAUAGGAAAGUUUCGCCUGUUACCAAGAUUAGAGUUUAUUCUUUAUUGCAUAGUAAUUGUUUAAAUUUAGAUUUGAAUAAUUGUUGUUACUCAGCCGAUAUGGCAAGAAAUAUUAUUUCCUUUCAAAGUUUGUAUGCACAAGGUUUUACCUUUUCUUUUAAUAAUGAAAAUGAUGGUAUUUAUGCUUAUUGUAAUGGUGUAUUUUAGUUUGAAGCAUUACCUUGAAAUGUUAUAUAUGAAACUUUGUUGAUUGUAUAUAACUUAGGAAUAAAUGUGUUUAAUAUUGUUUCUUCCAAUGAAUUGGAUAAUGCAUGCUUGUGGCAUUGUCGUCUUGCACAUGUCAACAAGAAGCGCAUAGUCCAAAAGGAUGGAGUUCUGGAGUCAUUCGACUUAAAAUCGGAUGACACUUGCAAAUCUUGUUUACCUGGAAAGAUGACCAAGUCACCCUUCACUGGUACUUGUGAAAGGGGGUGAAGUUAUGUUGGAUCUCAUACACACUGAUGUGGGUAGACCAUUCAAAACCACCACAAGGGAUGCUAACAGAUUCUAUGUGACUUUUACUGAUGAUUACAGUUGAUAUGGCUAUAUCUGCUUAAUCAUGCAUAAGUAAGAAACCUUUGAAAAGUUCAAAGAGUUUAAUCAAGAAGUGGAGAAUCAAUUGGGCACACAGAUAAAGAUGUUGCGAUCCGAUCAUGGAGGAGAGUAUCUUAGUAUUGACUUCCUUGACUAUCUUAAGGAAUGUGGAAUCACUUCACAAUUGAUGCCACCUAGGCUACCACAACUUAAUGGUGUGGCUAAGAGGCGCAAUAGAACCUUGUUAGACAUGGUUCGUUCCAUGAUGAGUCGAGCUACGUUACCGAUCUCAUUUUGGGGGUAUGCCUUAGAGACUUCCGCCCGUAUCCUUAAUCUAGUGCAUACCAAAAAGGUUUCCAAAACACCUCACGAGAUGUGGAUAGGGAAAAGAAACUUACGACAAGCUCGAACCUUAGAGUGAGAUAUGUAUUUUCAUCGGUUAUCCAUAGAAAUCCUUUGGAUAUCUCUUCUACAGACCGAGUGACAAUGUUGUCUUUGUUGUGAGGAGAGAAGUCUUUUGCAAGAAAGAACUCAUAGGCCAAGGAAACAGUGGGAGGCAAAUUGACCUUGAAGAUCUUCAACAGUUAAGCGGUGAAGGAACCUCAAAGACUAGCAAUCAACUUGAGGAGGAAACUCCAGUUGAUCCAAUUGACGAGUCCUUACCUCUGAGGCAUUCAAGUAGAGUUAGAAAUACACCUGAGUUUUAUGGUUUCCAUAAUACUAUUUAAGGUGAUAUAUUUAUCAGUGAUAGCACACUGGUAAAUUUGGAUGAACCUAACAAGUACAAGGAAGCCAUUGCAGGUCCCGAGUCUGUAAAAUGGAAAGAGGGUAUGGACAGCGAGACUCAGUCCAAGUAUGACAAUCAAGUUUGGAACUUGCUGCAAAAAGUACUGGGUCAUAAGACAAUCGGGUGCAAAUGGAUCUUCAAGAAGAAUACUGACAUGGAUGGGAAAUUACACACACAUAAAGUGCGAAUGGUUGCGAUGGGCUUUACUCAAACUCUAGGUGCUGACUACGAUGAGACCUUCUCACCAGUAGCAAAGAUUAAAUCUAUAAAGUUUAUGUUGGCCAUUGUUGCAUUUCAUGACUAUGAAAAAUGCCAAAUGGAUGUCAAAACUACUUUCCUUAAUGGAAAGUUGGCUGAAGAUGUUUACAUAUGUCAGCCAGAUGGUUUUGUUAAUGCAAAGUACCCUAAUAGAGUGUGUAAGCGUGAGAAAUCCAUUUAUGGGUUGAAACAAGCAUCUCGUAGAUGGAAUCUUUGUUUUGUUGAGAAAGUAAAAGAAUUUGGAUAUUCGAGAAGUGAGGAUGAGUCUUGUAUAUGUCACAACUACGAAUUUUGAUGCUUUGUAACUACAACAAUUAUAUCAAUUGUGAACCAACAAUGUGAAAGCAUGUAUGAUGCUUAUUCAAUAACAAGAAAACUUCAUCAAAUACAUCAUUCAAGCACUACAAAUAGUCAACAAAGAAUUGAAAACCCUUGAAAUCCCGGUUUAAGUCCAUUUAGAACUAGGAUUUCCUUAUUGGACCUAAUGGACCAAUAAGCUUCCAAUUUAACUAUCUUGAACAUAGAACUCUCAAAUGGGCCUUAAUUAGACCCAUAUACAUGAAACUUAAUAAUUUGGGCUUUACAAGCCUAAAAUAAACUAGGUUAACUUUAAUGAGGCUUAUUAGGUCACAACAAAUUUAAAUUAGCCCUAAUGGGUCAUAAAAAUCAUACUUGGAUUUAUUUGGGGCCAAAAAUCAUCUAAGUGAAUCAUAAGAUGGGCCUAAGAUCAAAAAGCACAAUUUUCUUCCUUUCCCCUCUCCUCUUUUCGUCCCAACAACCUAAAAUGGAAGAGGGUUGACUUCCAUUUGCCACCUCACAUUUACCCAUAGGUCCUCCAUGCAUAUAACUCAUAUUUCCAUGCAACCAUCAGUUCAUCUACUCUCUCUUCUCCUCUCUUUUUCUCUCAUCCGAAACAACACAAACACACACACGCAUUUCACUCAAACUCUUGCAAAGAAACUCUCUUCAUUCUUCAUCAAAAAAAAAAUCGAGAUUUAGAGCUUGAUAAGGAGUUUCUUCCACAAAAAUCAUCAUUCAAGGUAAGUGUAUGUUUGGACCUAUGAUCUAGAUUCUUUGUUUUAUCAAAAUAUCUUCCUAAUCUAUCCAAACUCAUAACCACCAUCUUAGAAACACCUGAGUUCGAGAUCCUACAAGGAUAGCUUCCUAGGCCAAGAUUUGCACCAAACUUCUUCAUUUCUCUCUUCAAAACUGAAACCAAAACUCAAGGUGAGCUUCAUAACCCUCUCUUUUCGGUUUUCAUAUGUUUUAUGGGGAAGAAUACAAGAAAAUGUGUAGAUUUAUGUGUAUGUGUAUGCUAUGUGUGAUUUUAUGCAUGUAUGUAUGAUUUUAUAUGUUUUUGUGAUGAACAUGUAACUAAAAAGGGGUGUUAACUCGAGAUCUAUGACAUGAGAAAGUAAAAAAACAUGAUCUAAGUUAUUUUACACCAAAAAAGUCAAGAAUAAUAACUUAUAAGAUUGUGUUAAACAUACUUCAACAUAAAACCCAUUUUUGGGCUAAAAUUGUCAAAUAUACAAAAAUUUGGGCUAAAAGUUGCCAAAACACGGUUUCUUAAGGGUUAAAGAGUCAAAACUGUUAAAAUAAUUGUUUUUAUGAACAUUAAAAUUUUCAAAGGACUUGAAAUGUAAGUUUUUAGCUUAACGGGCUAAUUUUUUCGGCCCAAUAAGCCAAAAAUUGCGAAAAAUGACAAUUAAAGGGGUUGAAAUGAAACUUUCUUCAAAUAAGGGGAUAAAAAGUGUAACAAAACUAUUUCAAGGGUCAAAAAUGCUUUUCAGUUCCAAAAACGAUCAUAAUGUAAAGUUUUUGGAUUUUGGGCCAAAACUGUAAAAAAUUGCGAAAAGUUGGGUUUUAAACCGAAAAAUACUAUUCUGAAAGGGGUGAAACUGUUAACAAAAUAAGCUUCGAGUUAAAACUAUCAUUUCAACAAAUCUAUGAUGCAAAAGUGUCAAGAAAAUAUUUUAAGGGCUAAAAAUGUCUUUUCUUUUAUAUAAAGGACUAAAACUGUCAUUUUUAUAAAAAUGAAGGUGUUGAAAAGGUCAACCACUAUUUUAAGCAAAUUAUUUCAUUAAGUCAAAUACAAAACCAUGACUUACGAAAAAUUGAAAGAAGAAUACACUUUUAACUCCAAAUAUCGUUAUAAACAAAUCGAUCGGUCUCGAAUCGAUACAAACACAACAACCGUUAAAUCGAACCCUCCAAUACAUAUGCGAUACCUAAGAUGAGUAAUUAUUCAAAAUUUGGGCUUGAAAGUUUCAAAUCAUGUUUGUUGGACCUUGCAAGUCCAUUAACAUGAUCUUUGGGCCCAAAGGGAUAACGCUUAUGUGUUAUUGGGCCUCUUAUGGCCUAAUUCCAUAUAAAAGGAAUUUCAAUGCCUUUUAUGUGCUAUUGGGCCCUAGUGGUCCAUUAGUAUUGAUAGUAAGGUCAAAGUAAUCAAAUGCGAGUUGGGCCAUCAUGUCUUUCGCAUCCCCGACAGCCUAAGGUACUUACGAAGAAGCAGGACUUCGUACUCCUCUUCUCUUCGUUCGCUAAGGCUUCUGAGUAAUCAAAGUAGACGGAAUUAGGACGUUAUUCAACAGUAAUCAAGCUUGUUUGGAUUAAGUGAGUAACAAUGGACGACACCUCUAUGGGACGUUCGUAGUUGGCUGUUAUAACUUGUCUUCACCGGACAUCGUUACAACGACUCACUAGGGUUAUCCAACACCAUCCAAGUAUUCAAGGAUAAGUAAUCAAAAGCCAUUCGUUGUGGCGGGUUAACAGUUAGUAAUCAUGUAUAUCUUUCGACAUCGGAAAACAUCGGGUUUUCCGGGGAAAUCAAUACUACUCGCUCGGAAAUUAUAUAACUAUAAUACAAAACACUUCUUUUCUUUGUAUGUUUUGAAAUCAUUCGUGCAUCAACUUAUGGAUCUACACACUUUGAUAAACUAUUGACUUUUCAGAAAAUAUCGGAUUUUCUGGGUUUCACAAACUAUGCAAAUCAUUUUAUUCACAACCUUGCUUAUGAAGUCACCAACAUUUCAUAUGUUGAUGUUUUUCCAAAAUAACUUGUAUUCCCAGGUAACAAAUAAGUGGAAGGGUAAUACCAUGUAAGUUAGGGUGUUUUGUUUAUGAUAUCUAUGAAACAAUUUACGUAUGGAUAUGUAAUGUUAAAACAAUGUACUUGAUGUGAACAAUUCCAGUUGUAAUAUUUUGAUGCAUGGUGAUGUUUAUGUUAUGAUUCGUGUAUAUUCAUUGUGAUGAUAUUCAAUUUAAGUCGCGCGAGCCCUUGGACGUUUCCGCCGUCUAGUUCGGGGGUGUGACAGUAUAUAUGUCAAAGCUAGUGGUACUAUAGUGAGCUUUCUGGUAUUGUAUGUAGAUGACAUACUACUCUUAGGAAACGACAUCCCAACCUUUCAGGAGGUUAAGUCCUAGCUUGGGAAGUGUUUCACUAUGAAGGACCUUCGAUAAGCUGCGUUAUCUUACGGAUACGGAUAUUGAGAGACAGGAGUAAAAGGCUAAUAGCACUUAGUCAAAUUACCUACUUGGACAAGGUGUUGAAAUGUUUCAACAUGGAGAAUUCCAAGAAAGGUGACUUACCUAACCAAAGCAAUACCAAACUGAAUAAUACUCAGAUUCUGAGUAUAGAGGCUGAAAUAGUAUAAAUGAGUCAUAUACCAUAUGCUUCCAUAAUUGGUUCAAUCAUGUAUGCUAUGACUUGUACUCACCCGGAUGUGGCCUUUGCUUUGAGCAUGGUCAGCAGAUAUCAAGUGAAUCCUAGUAAAGCUCAUUGGACUGCAGUUAAGAACAUUCUUAACUACAUGUGGAGGACUAAGGAUUUGAUCCUUACCCUCGGUGGGAGUGAUGACUUGAGAGUGAUAGGGUAUAGCUGUCACACCCCCAAACCGAAUUGGUGGAAACAUUCACGGGGUGGAGGACGUCAUGUACAGUAUUAUACAAUUCAUAAUAGUAAAACAAGCAACAACAUCAUCCAUUGCAUUAAUAGUAUAAUUUAUACAUGUAUGUUAUUAAUGUAUUUGUAAGACACCAAAAACAUAUAUAUCAAAAUAAAAGACAAGUCUGAAAGGACUCCAUCUUCUUAAAACCUGGCCAUCUGUACCGGUCUACUGGUGACCUGAGAAUGCAAGUUAUUUUAAAAGUGAGGAUCAACAUUUAAGCUGGUGAGUUUAUAAGUACUUUAGUAUCAAAAGUUUGUAUAAGUUUGAAGAAAGUGUUUGUAAAUGUUUGUAUCUCCUAGAAAAUACUAUAUCUUUCUACUUAUCAUGAAAUGUAGCCUUCUACCAAGACCCUAAUGUUCUGCAUGUUGUUUGUUUGCAAAAGUGAGUGUUUUUUUCCCAAGUAUGACUAUCAUUACCAAAAUAUAGUUUACAUUUCCGUUUAUGUGAGAAGAUCACAAUGUGAAUGCAAUGGGAAAAUAAUGAUCUACUAUAGUAUUGUAUAUAGUAACUUCUGUUGUACCAACUACCUUAAACCAAUUCUUAAUUAAGGUAAAAUGUGAUGACAUGGUAACCAUGCUUGAUUAACUAAGAAAACAUGAUGUUCAAAGACGUCGAAAUGAUAUGACCUUCAUCACCCGUAGACCUGCAGGUCCCACUAUAGCUAGCAGCAAUGUCUAGGAUAUUCAAUCCAAUAAUGAUCUAUACACAAAUUCCCGCUCUCCUACCAGGAGGCUCUGGUUACAAAACGUUACUCGCCAAUAUAUUGCAAUGCCAUGAAGUAGUGGAUCACAUUAAUGUUAUAGUAUUCUUGUAUUUGUAUAGUAUGUUCUCUGUGUUCUACUGUAUUGUAUGUUCUCUUUGUAUAGUAUGUUCCUCCCUGAUUCUUAUUAUAGUAUGUUCUUUCUAUUUCACGUUAUAGUAUGUUUGAACUGACUCAUGUAUGAACUGACUCUUGUAUGUUUCAUUGUACUAGAAAUCGUGAGUAGUAGUCCUCUAAAGUAUACCUAUUAUAGUUUACUAGUAAUGUUGUUUGAAUGACUAAGUAUGUUUGUACACCUUUUCUACCAAAAGGUGUUGAACUCAUGUAUGAACUUUUAUAUCUAUACACAUAUACAUAAUAUAUAACUAAGAUUCAAAUGACACUCGGACAAACAACCGAUACCGUAAGUCCACAACCAAACAAGGAACCGAAAAUAAAACGAGUUGUCAGUCCUAAGCCCUUUCAACCAUAUUUAUAUAACUAUACCUGUAUAGACAUGAUUUUGACAAUAUAUAAGUUUAAAGAGUUUAGCAUAUAAACGGGUUUUCACUUAUAAAGGAAUUUUAACCAUUUGAAUGGUUAUAGAUGACUUGAUGUCAGUUUAUAAAAGGUUUUGAAAUAGUUUGCUUCAUAACACAGUUUUGAAGUAUAAGAAAUCCAUUUGUUUGAUAGUUAUUAAUCACAGGUGAUUGAUAUAAUAACUAUAAUGUUUCUACUUGUAUCCCCCCCAUAAAAGCAUUUUAAAUCAUAAAAGCAUUCGAACGUAAGCUCGAUGUAGGAUGCUAAGUGUCAAGUGAUACCUCGAGCACAAACGGAUCCUAUUAAGCCUAUAAUGACACGUAUAUGCAUAUAAUUAGUGUAUAUAAGAACCAAUCAUAAUAUAGAACUAGCUUAUGGACUAGGAAACACUUGGAUUGAAAUGUUACAAUCACAUAUGAUUGUUCUAAGGGGGUUUACUGCCACACAAGGAUGUUCAUGGGCAUCGUGUUUACGACCAUGGUGUUUACGGCCACGGAUGUUUACGGCCAACACAUGAAAUGGCUUGUGUUACAGUCAAAGAGGUUCACGACCAAUGAUGUUCUUCAUAGGGGUUUACGGCCAAAGGAGAUGCUAUGGCCAUAAACUCCUUUGUUCUAGUGGAAAUGGUUGUUUUCAAGGUAAUAUUUCAAAAGCUUCUAUUAGAUAACUAGUAUAUGGAAGAAUACUUACGUUUUGAAGCUUGAAGGGGGUGUUCACGGUCUAAAGAAAUAGUAGGUGUUCUUGGUGUAAGUGAUGAAGAUUUGAAGAUCUACCCAAAAGAGACGAAUUCAUGGAUGAAAUCAUAGAAUUUUACUAGAUUAAGAAGGAUAUCAACUUAAAAAUGGAAGGAUCACGUACACUUUUGAAGAUCAAGAUGAAUAUUCUUUAUGAUACUUGAGAGAGAAUUGACUUUCUUGACUUGGAUGUGUGUGAAGUGAAGGAAAAUGAAGGAAAAUCAUGCAUAUGGAAGGAGUUCACGGCCAACCAAGACAUUACGGCUGUAAUCUCUAGUUUACGGUCGUAAACUCCAAGUAUUGGAGAUUUCCGGCUUGAAUGAUGCACAAUGAACUCUAGCAGAUACUUUCUAACACCCAACCCUUGAAUGAACUCGGUUUAGAACACUCAAACAAACCCAUAACAAGGCUAAAAGAUAGCAAAAACAAGUAUGACACUAGAUUGAAUUAACUGACUUUACAAGAUAGAAAUUUCGGAUUGUCAUAAUAGUGACGCCAGCUUCCAAACCGACAGUGAUAAUUUCCGCUCUGAUUCGGGAUGUGUUUACCUUUAAUGAAGGAGAAGUGACAUGGAAAAGUUCCAAGCAGGAAACUAUAGCUGAUUCAACGUGCGAAUCAGAGUAUAUAGCAGCAAGCGAAGCAUCGAAGGAGGUGAUAUGGUUGAAAAACUUCACCGGAGACCUUGGAGUCAUUCCAUCCAUAAAGGAGCCUAUGGAGAUUUUCUGCGAUAAUGAAGGUGUGGUUUCCUUAACCAAGGAACCAAGAGAUCAUAGUAGAUCCAGUCAUAUCGACAGAAAAUACCACUUCAUAAGACAUCAGGUAGAAGAAGGGCACCUCAUGGUAAAGGGGAUAUCAUCAGAGGACAACGCAACAGAUCCUCUUACAAAAGGACUGACUAGGGUUAAUGUCACACCCCCAAACCAAGGAUGGCGGAAAUGUCCGGGGGUGGAGGACUUCAUGUAUAGUAUCAUAACAAUAAUUAUAAUAGCGCUCAAAGUAUAGAAAACCAACAUAAAGUCGUUGUUUACCUGAUUUAUGGAUUUCCUGAGAAUACAAGUACUUUUCAAAAAAGUGUCAACAAUUAAGUUGGUGAGUUCAUAAGCUUUUAGAAUGAAAUGUUGAAAUCCUUUCUUGUAAUAGUAGUGUUUGUUCCAGAAAAUCCCAUAUUUUCUGUCUAAAAUGUAUUGUAGUCUAAAAUGCCAAGACUACUAGUAUGCUAGAAUUUUUCCAUUUAAAAUUUGAAUCAUGCAAGUUUAAAUCGGCAUAAACAUGUUAGUUUAAAUAGAAAUUCCAUAAGUCUUAUGUUUGUUAAUACCCCAUGUGAGUUAUUAUAAACAUACUAUGACUUAGUUGGCCUUAUAUAGGACGUUCUUCAGGCGUCAGAAUGUUAAUGACAUUUGUAACCCCAGACCUGCCGGUCUAGCUAUUACAUGCAGCUAAGGUGUGGGUUUGUCAAACCCAGUAUAUAUCUAUACACAACUAUCAUGUUCUCCUUACAAUAGAUUCUGGUUAUAAUUAAAGGACUUUUGUCACGCUACUUGGAAGUAACAUGAAGUGAAUGUCUCACAAAUUUAUUCAAUAACAGAUUUAUGUAAUGUGAUAAUGAUAACCCCUUUUUGUAGAAAUAUACUCUUUUAUAUUGUAUAUGUAACAUAAACUAUACCUCUUAUAUUUUAUCCAAAUUUUUGUAGUGUGUAGUAUUCACCUUCUAUGUAAGUAGAAUGUAUAUAACAAAACGAUUCUAGGUUUACCAUGCUUCAAAAUGCAUUAAUUGUAAUGAUAAAGAAUUCUUACAAUUUAGUGACAUUUCUUUGUAACAUAAAUGUAUCCAAAUAGAAAAAUCAUGAAAAAUAUGAAGACAUCAAGGUUUUACACUUUGCUCAACAAGUUACAAAGUGUUAAUAAAGUUAUAAUUUGUGAACUUGUUUUUACCAUUUCUACACUGAAUUUGAAAAAUCAUAGAAAGUUCAUACUAGAUCAAAAACUAGAUCCGUAAACUCUGACAGUUUAGAAAACGUCUCUAGUUUCUUCACAAAUUUUAUUAUGAUUUUUAGAAGUCCCUAACUGGUCCAAAUUCGUAGCUACAGUGAUAGGUGGUUUUGUAAAAAUCACCAUAAAUUGUAGAAAAAUCGUAUGGACAUGUGCAAGUAGUCAUUUUAAAGGUAUAAACCUGAACUAUUUGCACCUAAUACAGUUUUGAAAACUAAAAAGUUUAAGAUGUUCAAAAUAGUUCGUGAAUGAACAUGAAGUUUUCUGUUGAAAGUUGUUGUUUGUAUUUAGUUAUGUAGUUGGUGAUUUAACUUCUAUUCUCCCCCUAAAACUUGAAGAAAACAGGAAAAUGUGGGGGUAUGAACUCACCUUGAGUGAUUUCAGUAGAUGGAUGAUGAAGAAAAGAAUUGUUCAACUCAAGAACACUUAGAAGAUUACUUGAAGAUCCAAAGAUCUAACACAAUUUUGAUGAUGUUGGUGUAAGAUAUCCAUGAUUUAAGUAGAAUGAAAAGAGGAAUAAUCAUGUGAGGAGUGAUAUUACUUACUAGGAGUAGAUGAAGAGCUUGUAAUCAGCCUUGAAUUUUCGAGAUUAGAGAGGAAUAGUGAGAGAGAAUGAGUUUUUGCUUCUUGGUGGAGAAUGAGUGUAAUGGGAGGAGAGAUAAGAGUUUUCCAGCGUUUGAUGAAGAGUAUGGCUGGAAAAAUGGUGGCAAAAAGGAUGAUGAUUGACCAGGUAUGCGGGAAUAGUGGCUGGGUAUGGCCUUGGAGUGAGUGUCGGAGGGUGAUUGUGUUCUUAUACAAAGGAUAAGUCAACACUCCACCUAAAUAACUUACCCACCAUAUUUUAUUCUUAAAUAAAGAUUUCCAUAAAAAUGUGUUUAGAUUAUGGAAAUAUGAGGUCUUAUAUGUCAAAAUAUAAGUGUGGGUGAAAAUCACGAGUUAAAAUCACGAAAAACGGGCUUAAAAUGAGAAAAUGGUCAAAAACCGGGAAAAGCAAGCGAAUCAGCCAAGAUCCGGACGAAGGACCGAAGUUCAGUCCUUUAAAGCUUAGAACCGAGAGGAGGGUUCGGUUGUGAGGUGAGAACCGAUAUAGGGGUUCAAUCGGACAGAUUCGCAGGCGACGAACUGAACGCUGAAGUGAGGAGGCGAAGGAGAAGGUUCGGUCCGAAAGGGGGUCUCGGUUCGCUUGAUUCGGUUUCGGCUUAUGCGAGGUUCGGCUCUAGCAAGUUCGGUUCUGAAAAUGCUUCAUUCUGACAGGCUUGGUUCCAAGGGUUUCGAAUCCUUAGGGGGUUUUGGCUCCUUAGGGAGGUUCGGUUCCUUGGGGUCUCGGCUCCUUAGGGAGGUUCGGUUCCUUGGGGUCUCACCUCUUAGGGUUUCGGUCCUAAGAGGGUUCGGCCCUAGGUGACUGAUUUCCGCGUUAACUCUCCGUUUUGUGUACUUUUUCGCUAAGUUAAGGGUCGGGAUGCCCCCAAAUCUUUAGAAAAAGUUGAGGGAGGUUACGAGAGAGAUUUGGGAGAGAGAGAGAUUGAGAGAGACUUCGUUUGUGACCUUUUUGGAUGUUUAGCUUCGCAAUGCAAGGUUCAUACACCCCAUUAAGCUUAGUUAUUAGGGUUUUAUGCCCCCGAGGGGUAUGAAAUAACGUUUUAUCAAAUAGUUUCAUCACUUACUCCGAUUAGGGUUUGAAAUUUCUGAACGAAUGAACUUUCCAAGUGAUAACUUCUUAUUAAAAUAGUGAGUUGCACAAUAGUAACAUAGUGUAAACCCUAAUAUACAAGGGUUAUAUGAGCUGACCGGUUGAAUUUGGUGGACUUUGACUUGAUCGGAAAUAGACGGUUGUCACAGUUCAGCACUUGCAGCAUGCGAGGGGCAUUGGGCUAAAGGACGAUAUUGGUUUUAGUAAUUAGAUAAAUUAAAAAUUGUAAUAGCUAAAUUGUAAUUGACAUUUGAUGAUGAAUAAAAAGAGUUUUAUUUAUAAGUAAAGUUACUGUCUUGUGUCCAUCCAUAGUGGAUCAUAUAUUGAAAGUAAGUAUGAAAUAAGACUGUCAUGAGUUGUCUUGUAGAUUAUUCUAAGGAGUUAGUGUCACACCCUGAAACCGAAGGCGGAAAUGUUACGGGGCGGAGGACGUCAUGAAUAUCGCAAACAAUGUACAUAGUAAGCGUACUAAAACACAAAACAUUACAUUACAUAUAAUUAUUACAUUUGUUUGAAACCAAAGUGUUACAAGUGUUAUAUAUAUAUAUAUAUAUNAACAAAAGUAUAGACGUGUCUUCUACGUACUCCGUUUCGCCAAAAGGAUCGCUGGGUACCUGUCUAAUGUGGACCUGAGAAUACAAGCAGUUUGAAAAUCAGCAUAAAUCUGGUGAGUUCAUAAGAAUUUUGUUUUCUGAAAAUGUACAAGUUUCCUUUGGUUUUCCGAAAAAGUUUGUUAUCCAAGAAAAUCCCAUAUUUUCUUAUAAGUAUAGUUCAGUUAUCCGUUUAUUAUACGAUCCGAUUAUGAACAGUUUGUUAUCCCACGAAAAAACCUUAUUUUCCUUAAAAGUAAAGUAUAGUUAUCCAUUAGUUACACGGUCUAGUUAAGUACAGUUCAGUUAUCCCAGGAAAAACCCUUAUUUUUCUAAAAGCAUAUAGUUGGUUAUCGGUUUCUGAAAGUAAUGUACGAGUGGCUACCAUACUUUAUGCGUUCGUGUGAUGUUUCCUGAAAACCUGAUUAUCCUAGUAAAGUACAUUAGUUUUAACACGUAUAUAAAACUAAUAAGAAAGUAUAAAAGUAUUCAUAAUCUAAAUUGCGAGUUCCAUAACCAUACUAUAGACUGGAUAAUGCUCGAAACAGGGCCAAUAUCUUUUUAUGACUUUUGUCACCCUUGAACCUUUCGGUUCGACUAUAGCUAGCAGCCAGGUGCGGGGUUGUCAAUCCUGUAUAGAUCUAUACACUCAAGUCAAGUUCUCCUUCCAAGAGAUUCUGGUUACGGGGGUAGUCCUACAUUCUCGUAAAUAGGGGGAGUGUUACAAGGACGUGUCUCCAAUAUUAAGAUUAAUGAAUUAAAAGACAAUAAAAUGGGAAAUUCUGAGUAAUUAGUCCUUCACUCUCGUAAAUAGGGGGAUUUUUAUCAAGGACUUGUCUAAGUUCUAUGUUUAAUGUCACUAUUCCACCACUCUCGUAACUAGGGGGAGUGGUAAGGUUCUAUUUUUAAUGUUAUUAUUCCUUCACUCCCGUAUCUACGGGGAGUGGUAAAGUUCUAAGUUUAAUAUUAUUAUUCCUUCACUCUCGUAUCUACAGGGAGUGGUAAUGUUCUAAGUUUAAUGUUAUUAUUCCUGCACUCUCGUAUCUACGGGGAGUGGUAAAGUUCCAAGUUUAAUGUUAUUAUUCCUUUACUCUCGUAUCUACGGGGAGUUAUAUCAAGUACAUUUUAAAGUUUUAAGAUUCAUGCUUUUAACAACAAUGAUAUGUAAAUUCAUUUGUGAAAUAUAAAAUAUUACAUUUUGAAACGAAUUUCACAAAUAACAUGAUGGUUUACUCUACAAGUUGAAUGAUCGGUUAAUACAGUUUUCCGUGUUAAAAGCAUACAAAAUAUGAAAUGGAUCAAAUGAAAUUAUAAGUUUGAGUACAAGAUUUCCUUGUACUUUUGCUUGUAUUCCCCCAUGAAAACAUUCAAAAACAGUGAAAAAGGGUAGGGGUAUGAACUCACCAAUCGUGGAAUGUGUCAGUUUGGGUGCUAAACGUCAGUUCAAGGAAUCAAAACGCGCGAGGUUCCUAUGUAAUAUGAAAUGAUACACAGUUGUAUCUAAUUAGAAUUUGAACCACUAGUUAGAUAAGAUUAUACACUCCAAGACGCGAAAACACUUCAAAGUAAGUGUUUGGAGUGACUCGGGUGACAUCUAUGGACAUAUAUGGCUUGGAUAUGGAGUUUACUCUUCAAGAGUAAACUCAUAAGAGGGUUUACAGCCCUAAUGACCCACUCCCCAUGAGUUUACGGCCGUAAACUCAUGGUGAGCUGUUCUAGGGUGCUAAAUGGCUUAUAUCACUUGGGAAAAUUAGCUAGGAUCAAAUCUAGGGCAUAGCAAUGGAUUAAACCAACAUAUGGACCAUCUAAUGGAGUUUACAGCCAUAAGCUCCCCCACACACCUUCCUUUGAUUUUUUGGUGGUCCUAGGUCAUUACAAGUGUUUCUAGCUAAAUCUACAAGCCAUGGAAUUAGUUUAAGGCACCAUUUGACUAAGUUUUAGGAGUUUACGGCCUAAGAACCCAUUCUUGGGAAGUUUAUGGCCGUAAGCUCCUAUGGGGGUAGUUUUAGCAUGUUUAAGGCCCUUAACUUCAUUGUGGUUGCUUCUAGACUUUAUUCCAAGGCUUAUGGUGUGUUUAAGUGGCAUCUUAACACUUUAAAAUGAGUUUACUCCCCAUGAAUAGGUGUUUAAGGUCCAAGCAUGUGCUUGGGCCGUAAACUCAUGUUUACACCCUAAGUGAAGAGUUCAAGGUGUUCUAAGUCCAUGAAAAUAAGUCCUUAGGUCAUUUCCAAGCUCCAAGAGUUAUUUGGGAGGGUUUUAAGGCUCAAAAACCCCUUUUAUGUGAGUUCACGGCCUAGGGCUGUUCUAGGACCAUAAACUCAUGCUAAUGGUCCUAUUUCAAAGAUUAACCACGAGUUUGAAGGCUAAAGAUGUUAUACUAGGAGCUAGGAUAGUUACAUUGAUGAUUUGAAGCUUGUUUUGGAUGAUUUUUGGACCUAGAACUUGGAUUGAAGAGAGAGAGUAGAGAGAGAGUAGAGAGAGAGUGGAAAAGGCUUCAAAUGAGGAUCUCUCAACUUUAUAUAUGCUUAAAGUUUGGGACACGGUGGAAUUCUACCUGAUACUGAUGUUAAGCGAGGAUUUUGGUCGUCCCGAUUUAAUUGUUUUAUAACUCAACGGAAUAAAACUAAAAUUUUUCCAAAUAAUAAUUUGGGGCAUUUUCAUGAGAUUCUAACGUGUUUUGGACAAUUAUUAAGUCAUAAUAGCAAACUCAGAAUUAAUGACUUAAUUUAGAAACGAAAUGGAAACAAUUCAAGACGACGAAUUUUUAAUGAGGGAACGGCUUACGAUGACGAAACAAACUUCGGGUUGUCACAGUUAGGCAUAGCAACAGGUUUGCUACACCAUUCAUGAGUACUUCUGAUAUAAGAUUUAAGUAUUGGAUUCUGAUGGGUUUCGAUCAAUACAUCAUUCAUAUGGUGUACAUGCAAACCCUAAUAGCUUUUGGAUCUAGUUUGUCUAAUGAACAUACAAUUGAAUAUCCAAAGCUAUAAACCCUAGAUCUAGCAUACAAUUAAUCAUAUUAACAUAAAAUAGGGUUUAGAUCUGACCUUAGAUUGUUAUAUAGCAAUAACAAUCAAUCGUUAUCUUUAGAAAGCUUAGUACCUCAAGUGUUGCACCUCUAAUGGAGUCACAAACACCACUAAGCAACAAGGAUGAAUAGGGAAGAGAGGGGAGACACCAAAAAUGGUUGGAAAUCCUAAUCCAAGUGUUCACCACAUAUUUGAGGCCAUAAGGGUCCUUUAUAUAUGUAGGCUAUUAGGGUUUUCAACUAGGAAACCCUAAUAUGACUGUUUAGGCCUUAAGCAAUCCAAUGGACCAUUCCAGAAGGCCCUUGGACGAUUUCUUUAUGGACUUCCAUAUAGAAUUCGUCCAUUUCUAUCUAAUGGAUCCUAAGCCCCACUUUGUAAGUAUCUUAUAAUUACAAUAUCAGUCCCGUAAGUUUAAUUAAUCUCUUUUAGCCACAAAAUUAAUUCUUGACUAAUAUUAAUUAAACAUUAUGAUUUCUCCUUUAAUAUAUUAUUCAUAUAAUAUAUUAAUAGAUCAUAAUUAAACCUUUCUUUCCUUAAUUCAUCCUACAUAUUGUUGUGGUGAAGGUAACCCAAAAGGACCAUGCUCAUAAUCGGGUCAUGUACAUACCAAAAUAAUUAUGUACUUAGACACUAAUCCAACAGUCUCCCACUUGGAUAAGUCUAAUAACUAUUUUCCAUAUGAAUUCAGAACCUGAUCAGCAAUCGUAGCUUUCAAAAGCCGCUGUCAACUUUUAUCUUAUCAAAUAGCAUGUCCUUUAGAUAAGGAAUUAUAUAUUCCUCCAUUCUCUAGAUAUCGUAUAGACAUAAGACAUGGAUUUCAAUCAUUCUCUCUAUACUGUUCCCCCGACUUCCGAUUUAUGACGACUGACAACAGACUACAAUUGAACACAUGCACUUAGUCCCGGCUUGGCCAAGCACUUACUUGUCCUCAAUAAAUCAUCGAGGGGCCCACAGAUAUCGCUUUUAUCCCACUUUGGGUAAAAGGAAUGGAUAAACUUUGACUCAAAUGCUCACUCCCAUUCACUUAUCGAAUCACACACAACAAUAAGUCUUAUAACACCAAGUUACUGUUGUGUUUAGUUAUCAUCAAUGUGCAACCGACCAACAAAUAACAACUCACACGUCUCGGUUUCAAGAAUAUACAAUAUUAUCGUCUCACUAAUCACCCGUGAUAAAUCCAUGAAGUGAUCCAAGUGAGCGUGGGUUUAAUCCAAUACUCUAAUCUUAUCAAAGCACUCAUGAACCCUACAGUAAACUUGUGCUAUGUCUAAACACUUUAGACAAUCUACAGACAUAUUCAAGACAGUCUUCUUUCAUACCUACUUCCAACAUAUGAUCGACUGUGGAGAUUCGAAUAACCCAGUUAUUCUAGAAGUCAAAACAUGCAAACUGAAACACAAUGAUAAUACUUAAUCCUAUAUGGCACCAAACUUGUGAAAGUAAAUAAAACACUUCUAUUUAACCACCAUAUAAACUACUCAUUAUUUAUCGUUUACCGUUUCAGAACAUCAACUUAUUACUCAAAUUACAACAAUAGUUGUCCCAUGCACAAAGCAUGCACACUAUGUUUCCUAUGGUCCUUACUUUGUAAAAUAGAUCAACUGAAAACCUUUUCCAAUGAUGCUCAUUUCUCAUUUCCCAAUCCGUAUCAUUAGUCUUAGAACACCAGGUUCUUACCACUACUAGAAUAUGCUAGAUUCUAACUUUUUAUGCAACGAUCCUUUCGAAAAGUCAUAGCACAAAAGUCACCAAGACUUGGCCAAUGAAAUUACAAAGUACUCUAUCGGAAAUUGUUACAAGACAAUUCCAUAGACGUGAAGUCUCACAUUCAAAGUACAUUCCUUUGAACAUCCUUCUUGCAUAAAAUUUUCUAAUCUAGACAUAGACUCUCAAUAUCCAACUCCAAAUAUGAAAACAUUUCCAUAUUUUCCAUAUGACAACUUAUUCUUAAUAGAAUCUUAUCAAUUCAUAAUAAUGUCGAUAUGGUCCAUCCAAUACCAUACUUCCAACUACUCACAAGCGACCAAUCCUCAACGAACUUUGGAUCAUCCUUUGAUAGUUGUUUAAUUAUUUUAGUCAAAACCGACUCUAGUCCUUUUUCCCUCUUAAUGUCACACCCGCAAACCAAGGAUGGCGGAAACGUCUGGGGGUGGAGGACUUCAUGUAUAGUAUCAUAAAAACAUUUGCAAUAGUGAUUAAAGUAAACACAACCAACACAAAUAUAAUUGAACGAGUUACAUCAUUGUAUGAGUUUACAUGUUUCCAAAUCAAUUGCAUUAUGUUGACAAAAAUGAAAUGUUUGACGCCUUAAUGUCCCAUCCUCAAAAGCACUUGGUUACCUAUUUAGUGAUUUCCUGAGAAUACAAGUUGUUUGAAAAAGUGUCAACACAAAGGUUGGUGAGUUCAUAAGCAUUAGUAUGUAGUUAUGAAAACUUUUUCUUGUAAAAGUACUGUUCGUUCCAGAAAAUCCAAUAUUUUCCUUAAUACGUAAAAUUUAGUCUUAAAACCCAAGACCAAAAUGUAUAAGUAACAUUCCUUACUUAUAGUGAAUAAUGCAAGUUUAAAUCGACAUAAACUCGUUUGAUUUCAAUGAAAUCCCCGUAAAUCCUUUGGUUGUUAAUACUUAAUGUGAGUUAUUAUAACCAUGCUAUCACCUAGAUGGCCUGAAACGACGUUCUUCAGGCGUCGGAAAUGUUAUGAAAUUUUUCACCCCAGACCUGCUAUGCAGCUAAGGUGUGAGUUUGUUAAACCCAAUAUAGAUCUAUAUACAACUAUCACGCUUUCCCUCCAGGAGACUCUGGUUACAAUACAUGACUUAUUUGUAAAGUGAAGCGAAUGUGUCACAAAAGUCAUUAACGAAUUUAUGUGUAAUGUAAUGAAAAACCUUUUUGUAUAAAUGUCCCCUUUCGUAAUGAAUUUGUUAUGUAAAUUUAUCAUAAACUAUACCUAUUAUAGUUUAUCCAAAACGUUUGUAAUGCAAAGGAAUCCAUUUCACGUGAGUCGAAUGUAUAGCAAAAACAUAACUAUGUUUAUCAUGCCUUAUCGUGUAUUAUUUAUAAUGACAAAGGACUCUUACAAAUCAGUGAAUAAUUCCUUUUAUAUAAAUAUUCCACAACAGAAAAACAUAGGUAAAAUAUGAAACCAUCAAAGAUUAACACUUUGUUCAACAUGUUACAAAGUGUAAUGAAAGUUGUAAGCUGUCAACUUGUUUUUAACAUUUCUGCACUGUUUUGGAAAAAUCACAGAAAAAUCAUAUGAAAUCAAAAACUGAAUCCGUAAACUCUGGGAGUUUAUAAAAUGUGUCUAUUUUGUUCACAAAUUUUAUCAUGAUUUUUAGAUGUUUCUAUCUUGUGUGAAAAUGUCCAUAUUUUCAGACUCGUCCGGAUUUGUAGCUACAGUGAUAGGCAGUUUUGUAAAAAUCGCCAUAAAUUGUUGAAAAAUCGUAUGAACAUGUUCAAGUAGUCAUUUUAAAGGUAAUAACUUGAACUAUUUUCAACUAUUACAUUUUUGAAAACUAAAAUGUUUAAGUUGACCAAAACAGUCCGUGAAUGGAGUUAAACUUUUCUAAUGAAAGCUGUUGGAUAAGUUUAGUUAUGUUCUUGGUGUUUUAACUUGUAUCCCCCCCCCCUUUUCAAAACAUAAGAAAACAUCAUAAUGUAGGGGUAUGAACUCACCUUGAGUGAUUUCAGUAGAUGGAUGAUGGAGAAAAGAAGUGCUCAACUCAAUAACACUUGGGAGGUGCUUGAAGAUUUGAAGAUCUAACACAAAUAUGACGAUAUUUGUGUAAGCAAUCUAUGAUUUGGAUGAAAGAUGGUAGAAUAUCUAAGUGUAAGAGGAAGAUACUUACCAAAUGUAGAAGGAAAGCUUGGAAACAAGCCUUGAAUCUCGAAAUCUAGAGAGAGGAAGUGAGAGAGAAUGAAGUUGUCACUUGGUGGAAAAAUAGAGUAAUGUGAGGAGAGAGGAGAGUUUUCCAGCUCUUGACCAAGUGUGUGGCUGCAAAAUGGUGGGAAAAGUACUAUGGAAUGACUAGGUAUGGUUUAAUAGUGAUUGGGGGUUGUACUAUGAAGGUAUAGGGAGGAGGUUGCUUGUGUCCUUGUCCAAAGGAUAAGUCAACACUCCACCUACAUAUCUCACCAAUUAUAUUUUAUUCUUAGGCAAGGAUUUUCCCCAAAAUAUAGUUAAAAUAUGAAUAUUUAGGGUUUAUUAUGUUAAAAUACGAGUCCGGGCGAAAAUACCGCGUUAAAGUAAUUAAAAAUGGGCAAAAAUGCGAAAUUCCGAAAUUCAGGCCGAAGGUGCGAAGGUUCGGCUCCUUAGGAGCAUAGGACCCAAGGUGAGGCUUGGUUGUGCAUGGGAACCGAGAGUAGAAGAGGAACCGAGAGUAGAAGAGCAACUGAGAGUGGAGGAGUUCGGCUACGCAGGCUCGUUCCAUUUCGGUUGAGAGGGUUUCUGUUCUCAGGAGGUUCGGCUCAAAGAGGUUCGGCUCCUAAUAGGUUCGGUUCCUAAGAGGAGUUUCGGCUCCUUAGGGCUGUUUUCGCGUAGACUUCCGUUUUCGAGCUGAUUUUGUCAAAUUCGAAGGUCGGGAUGCCCCGAGUGAUUUUAAGAAGUUCAGAGAGAUUUCGAGAGAGAUUUAGGAGAGAUUUCAUAUACUUGGAGAGAUUUUGGAGAGAUUUCACAUACUUGGAGAGAUUUGGGAGAGAUUUCACAUACUUGGAGAGAUUUGGCAGAGAUUUCACAUACUUGGAGAGAUUUAGGAGAGAUUUCACAUACUUGAAGACAUUUCUCAUACUUGGAGAGAUUUGGGAGAGAUUUCACAUACACUGAGAGAUUCCUCAUACUUGGAGAGAUUUCUCAUAUAGAGAAAGAUAGAGUGAAAACGAUUGAGAGAGGUUUUGUUUGUGACAUUUUUAAGUGUCCGGCUUCGCAACGCAAGGUCCGUAAACCCCGUUAAGCCAUGUUUAAGGGUCCUAAACGCUCCCGAUGAGUAUGCAACAUUAUUUUAUCGGUUUGGUUCAUUACUUACCAUAGUUUAGGUUAAGGAAGUCUAGAUAUACGAAUUUUUCAAUUGAUGAUUUCUAAUUAGAAUAGCGAGUUGUAUAGUAAUUACAUAGCGUAAACCCUAGUAUACAAGGGUUAACUGAGUUAACCGGUUUUACUUGUUGACAUUGUUUGACUUUGACUUGACCAAAAUUUGACGGUUGUCACACUUAAUGUGCUAGACAUUUGGAAAAUUUUAGAAUGGUCUAAUAUUAUAGCAUUUGCAAUCGAUCCUCUACCCGAAGCGUAUGGGACACGAUGCAUAUUGUCUUACAUAAAGAUAUGAUACUUUAUCAAUCUUCUACCAUAAUAUUUUAUGUGUCACGUUCUCACAAUUCGAACUAUGAAAAGGGAUGCCGUAAUCAUAAUCAAAAUUUGAGAACACACUAGGUAUCCUUUGACUAUAUUUAUUAAAAUUUCUUAAUCUAAGCUUUAGAUUUUUUAACGAAGUAUAAUAUUCUCUCCCUUAUUUAUAGAAAAACAACUUUUCAACCUAUGCAACCUUGCAAAUUGAAUCUUUGUUUUUCUAUAAUUAAUAUUGCCAAAUUGCAAUACUUGCCAUAAUAAUCAUACAAGCAUAACACUAUACUCCCACUAUCAUGAUGAUUAUUAUCAUAUAAGAACAACACUUAUGCUCCCACUAGCUUUGACAUGUAUUCAAAAAAUAGUUGAACUUCCAAAACACAAUGCCUAUUGAAUUUUUGAUGUUCAUAUUUCUAAUACCGGAUGCUUCAAUAAGCCUUUAUCUAAGCUUCUUAAACUUAUACACCCUUGCCUUAGAUAGCUCAUAAGUGUGUCUCAACAAUUCAGAACUUAUAUCAAUAAAUGCCAAAUGUUGGACUAAUUGCCAAAUCUCACAAUUCGAACUAUGGAAAGGGAUGUUGCAACCAUAAUCGAAUUUUUGAAUACAAUUUUCACAAUUGCUAUCUUCUUAAAAUCUCUCUUAGUGAAAGCAUUUUCUCGCAGUCAUUUUCAAGAAAGAGGGAAUCUUAUGACGCUUAGAUUUUAUGGUGUAUGAGUUCCUAUCCAUGUGAAUUUUCCAAUAACAAGCUUGCAACAAAUCCCAACUCAUAUGGAUUGAACUUUCUUGAUUUCUAGCCUUAUGGUAACACGGGUGCCGACCAUGUCUUCCAAGUAGUUUAGCAACUUAUCCUUACAUAUAAAUGUACUUUCCAUCGAUAAACAUCCUUUGUCUUUAUGCAUUCAAAUGAUAACUCAUAGAACUCACAUACAUAAUUAACUCAAUUAGAAUGGCAUAGAAACGAAAUAAUGUAAACACAAUAGGUUGUAAAUCUCAAGUCGUGUGCUAGUGAUGAUCGAUAAUGUAACAUCCCAAUUUCCAAAGGUAUUGUUGAAGGGCUUAAAGUGUAAAUUAAGGAAGGGGACUCGACGAGUAGGCAUGCUUACUUGCCGAGUCGAAGCGGGGUUUGACCGCGGUUUAAGUAACCAACUCGCCGAGUCGGCGGCUGAACUCGACGAGCUGGUGUUGAAGAGAGGAAACCCUAAUCUUGGGGGUUGCCACCUAUUUAAAUGACUUUAUGUCCUUUUCGCAACCUCCUUAGCACCAUCUUGAGACAGAGAAACCCUAAAUCAUGAAAGACUCCAUUGUUGAGGAGAUUGCGGCUUAAAACAAGAAAUUGGUGAAGAGAAGUUGCAGGAGUUUGAGGAUAGCAUGAAGAGAGCUUGUGCAUCUAAAGUCUACAUCAGUUUAGACUCAUCUCUAAGGUAAGAGGACCUUACAUUAAGCUAUUUCCUUGUUAUUGAUGGGUUUUGAGCAUUAUAACACUUCCUAAGUGUACAUGCAACCCUAAUAACCUCGGAUCUAUGUUUGUCUAAUAAUCAUGCAAAGUUGUUUUCAAAGGUUAUGAACCUAUCUAGCAUACGUGGGGUACAAUUUUCUUUGUAUAAAAGAUAGAACUACAUACCUUGUUGUUGAAAGUGUUCCUUGAAACCUUGUGAGCCUAGCACCUCAAGUGUGAUGCAUUAAAUGCUUCACACAACACCAAAUGCAAAGAAAAAACUUGAGAGAAUACUCUAACACAUGCAAAAUCGGCCAAGCCCUCUUGUUUCGUAUGUGUAACCGAUUUUGGGGAGAGUUACACUGUUUAUAUAGUGUGUUGCAUUAGGUAAACCCUAAUGCUCCAUGACUCUUCAUUUCUUUAUCCAUGGGUCAACUCCAUGGAGCAUCCAUGGAUUAUCUUAUGGGUGGAACCCAACUUGAUAAUCCAUGAAGCCUCUUAGCCCUCUAUAUAAGAUAUAGAAGAUUUACUUAAUCUACCCAUAUAUCUAAUUAGUUAUCUUUUGAUCACUUAAUUAAUUUUUGAUCAAAACUAAUUAAAUAAUAUUAUUAAUAUAUUACAACUUAUAAUAUAUUAAUAAACCAUAUGUGUUAUUUCUCUCAUUUAGUUUAUCCAAUUGCAUGGUGCCAUGCAACCCAAAUGGACCAUGCCGGGUCGGGUCAAGUACUUACCAGAAAUAGUUAUGGACUUAGACACCUUAUCCAACAGUCUCCCACUUGGAUAAGUCUAAUAACUAUAACUGCAAUACUUCAGGAACCGAUCGGCAAUCGUAGCUCUUUGAAGGUCUCUCGGAACUGAGAAGAUGUUGAUACGCCAUUUAAGAUAAGUGAUCAUAUAAUCCUCUGUUCUAGAUAUCAGCCAGACAAAUACAUGGAACAAUGUCUUACUCACUGUCCAGCAUUUUGUUUCCCGAUUCCCUAUUUGUUUGACAAAGAACUUAAUUGAACACAUCAACUUAGUUCUGAUCGGGCCCGGUACAUAGGUCAAAACAAAAUCAUUGAGGGGCCCAGAUAUCAGCUUCUAAUCCAAGAAGGGACAGAUAAACUUCAACUCAUAUGUUUGUUCUACUACUAGUUGAAUUAUACACAAAAGCACGUUUUAUAACAUCAAGUUACCAAUGCGUUUUCGUACAAUCAAUGCAUAAUCAAUUCAUAGGAAACAAAUCAUAUCUCUAGGUUUGAAGACUUAUAUGAUAUUACCGUCUCACGAUCACUCGAGAUAAAAAUUCCAUGAAGUGAUUCCAGUGAGCGNUGAUUCCAAUGCUCAGAACAUAUGAGCACUCAUGAAGUGUUAUCUUAUAUCCUGACACCUACAACCAACUUCAUGACAGUCUUACCUCAUAUCUACUUCCAACAUAUGACUGACUGUGGAAAAAUUUGAAUAAUAUGUGAAACCACAACAUACUAUUCUGGAAGUCAAAACAUGCAAAAGAACUUACAGUAAACGAUUGACAAAAGAUAGCAACACUUUACUCAUGAAUAAACACAACUUUUAUUCAUCAUCAAAUGUCAAUUACACUUUACAAAUUUCAUAAUUUAUCUAACUACUAAAACUUAUAUCAUCCUUCAGCCCUAUGCUCCGAGCAUGCUGGAGAUGCUUAACCCUACUCAGUCCCUUCGUGAGGGGAUCUGCUGGGUUCUCAUCCGAUGAUACCCUCUUUGCCACGAGGAUUCCUUCUUCUACGCGAUGUCAGAUAAAAUGAUAUUUUAUGUCGAUGUGUCUGGAUCUCCCAUGAUCCCUUGGUUCCUUGGCUAAGGCAAAAACACUUUCACUAUCACAUAAAAUUUUCAUGGGCUCGUUUAUAGCUGGUACUACUCCAAGGUCUCCUAUGAAGUUCUUCAGCCAUAUAGCCGCCUUUGCAGCCUCGCUUGCUGCUAUAUACUCUGAUUCACAACUGGAAUCAGCCACUGUCUCCUGCUUCGAACUCUUCCAAGUGAUUUCUCCUCCAUUUAGGGUGAAGACCCAGCGCGACUGAAAGUGGAAAUUAUCCCUAUUAGUCUAGAAACCAGCAUCACAAUACCCUACAACUCUCAAGUCGUCACUCCCACCGAGGGUAAGGACCCAGUCCUUAGUCCUCCGUAGGUACCUGAGGAUAUUCUUUAUCGCAGUCUAGUGAGCCUUGCCAGGGUUCCCCUGAUACCUGCUAACCAUGCUCAAGGAAAAGGCUACAUCAGGUCGAGUACAAUUCAUAGCAUACACGAUCGGGCCUACUGCCAAAGCAUAAGGCACUCGACUCAUUACUGCUAUCUCAGCCUCAGUACUAGGGCAUUGUAUCUUACUCAAUCUGGCGUUACUCUGGAUGGGUAACUCUCCUUUCUUGGAGUUCUGCAUGUUGAAUCUCUUCAACACCUUGUCCAAGUAGGUACUUUGACUAAGUCCAAUUAGUCUUUUACUCCGGUCUCUCAAAAUCCUUAUCCCUAGAAUAUAGGCAGCUUCUCCUAGGGCGUUCAUAGAGAAACACUUCCCAAGCCAGGACUUAACUUCCUGCAGAGUUGGGAUGUCAUUUCCUAUGAGUAGUAUGUCAUCCACAUACAAUACCAAAAAGCUAAUUAUACUCCCACUAGCCUUGACAUACACCCAAGAUUCAUCUUCACUCCUAGUAAAGCCAAAUUCCUUGACCUUCUCAUCAAAGCAAAGAUUCCAUCUGCGAGGUGCUUGCUUUAAUCCAUAAAUGGAUUUCUCAUGCUUACACUCUCUAUUAGCGUACUCGUUACUGACAAAACCUUAUGGCUGACUCAUGUAAACAUCUUCAGUCAACUUUCCAUUAAGGAAAGCGGUUUUGACAUCCAUUUGCCAUAUUUCAUAGUCAUGAAAUGCAGCUAUGGCUAACAUAACCCUAAUAGACUUAAUAUUGGCUACUGGAGAAAAAGUCUCACAAUAAUCCACUCUAGGAGUUUGAGAGAAGCCCUUUGCAACCAGCCGAGCCUUAUAAGUAUGCACACAACCAUUCAUGUCGGUCUUCUUCUUGAAGAUCCGUUUGCACCCUACAGUCUUACGACCUGGUACAUUUUCAACCAAGUUCCAAACUUGAUUGUCAUACAUGGAUUGUAUCUCGCUAUCCAUAGCCUCUUUCCAUUUAGCAGACUCGGGGCCUGCCAUGGCUUCCGCGUAGCUGUUAGGUUCAUCCAGACCUACUAGUGUCUCAUCACUAAUAAGUGUCUCACCUUCCGCAGUAAUAUGGAAACCAUAGUAAUGCUCAGGUGCAUUCCUAACUCUCGUGGAACGCCUCAGAGGUACAGACUCGUCAAUUGGCUCAACAGGAGUUUCCUCCUCAAGUUGAGGGCUAGGGUUUGAAGUUCCUUCACCACUUGAUUCUUGAAUUUCUUCAAGAUCAAUUUGCCUCCCACUGUCUCCUUGGCUUAUAAACUCUCUUUCUCGAAAGACUCCUCUUCUUGCUACAAAGACCACAUUGUCACUAGGUCUGUAGAAGAGGUAACCAAAGGAUCGUUGUGGGUAACCGAUGAAAAUACACCUCUCGCUUCGAGGUUCGAGCUUAUCAUGAGUCUCGCGUCUCACGAAAGCCUCGCAACCCCAAAUCUUGAUGUGGUCUAGUGAGGAGUUUUGGCAACUUUCUUUGUAGGGACUAGAUUAAGGAUAUGGGCGACAGUCUCUAAGGCAUACCCCCAUAAUGAGAUUGGUAGUGAAGCUCAACUCAUCAUGGAACGAACCAUAUCCAACAAGGUUCGAUUACGCCUCUCAGCUACACCAUUCAACUGUGGUGUCGUGGGAGGUGUCAAUUGUGAGACAAUCCAACAUUCCCUAAGAUAGUCAAGGAACUUUGAACUAAGAUACUCACCACCUCGAUCGGAUCGAAGCAUCUUAAUGUUCCUGCCUAACUGAUUCUCGACUUCCUGUCAAAACUCCUUACAUCUUUCGAAAGUCUCUGACUUAUGCUUGAUUAAGUUGACAUAUCCAUAUCUACUGUAGUCAUCAGUAAAAGUCAAAUAAUAACGAUUAGCAUCCCUUGUAGCAUCUUUGAAUGGUCCACACACAUCUGUGUGUACAAGGUCCAACAAACCAUCACCCCUCUCGCAAGAACCUGUGAAGGGAAACUUUGUCAUUUUUCCAACUAAGCAUGAUUCGCAACUAUCAUCUAACUUUAGGUCACAUGACUCCAAGACUCCAUCCUUUUGGAGUUGGCCUAUGUGUUUCUUGCUUAUAUGUCCAAGACGACAAUGCAAUAAUGACGCUUUAUCCAAGUUAUUAUUAUUAGGAGAAUCAAUAUACAAAACAUUAUUUCCUAAGUUGUCAACCACAGAUACAGUUUCAUACACACCAUCACAAGGUAAUGCUUUAAAAUAAUGAAUAUUAUUAAAGAAAGCAUUAAUCGAACCCACUUCAUUAUCAAAUGAAAAGGUAAAACCUUGUUUAUACAAUGCAUGAAAGGAAAUAAUAUUUCAUGCCCAGAUAUCAGCUUCCAAUCUUGGUGACAGGUGAAGCUUUCCUAUUUCCCAUGAUCAAGUUUAUACUUCCUUGCUCCACAUUCUCACUUCCUAUUAGUCCCUGGAAAUCAGAACAUAUAUGAAUACCACAACCGGUAUUAAGGACCCAUGAGUUAGAAUGGGGUGAGUUAUUAGAUAAGAUAGUGUAAAUACCUGCAUGGUUGGGUUUGACUUUCCCAUCCUUCACAUCUUGUUGGUACUUUGGACAGUUCUUCUUCUAAUGUGCCUUUUCAUGGCAAUAGAAGCAUUCAGCCUCUUUUGGGUAAGAAGAAAGAGUGAUGAAACCUUUCUUGGUUCCACUUGAAGAAGAGCCAUCAAGGGUCCUAGACUUGGUACCCUUCAAAGAUAGGGGCAGAGUUGGUAGGAGUAGGAGUAGUAACAACCGCCUUACCCUUAAGACCACUUUCCGCGGUCUUUAAGAAUCCUUGAAGUUUGCUGAGAGUGACCUCUUCCUUGUUCAUGUGGUAUGCCAUGUGGAAUUGAUCAUAACAUGAAGGUAAGGGGUGUAAAAUGAUAUCUAUUGCAAGCUCCUCGGGGAAGUUCACAUUAAGCUUCAGCAAACGGUCCACAAAUCUUUGCAUUUUCUGCAUGUGGCACGUGAUGGGUUAACCAUCCUUCAUUCGGGUUGUUAUCAUGGAAGAGAUGAUUUCAUACCUCUCUUGUCUUGCACUUUGAUGAUAUCUUUCCAUCAAAUCUUGGUGCAUUUCAAAAGGGUAGAAAUUCUUGUAGGACUUUUGGAGGUCGGCUAUCAUAGUGGCCAUCAUGAUGCAUGCCACCUUGGUGGCAUGUAACAACCCGAAAUUCGUAACAUUGCUUGUAAUCCUUUUCGUAACCCAUUUCGUUAAUCCAUUCGUCGUUUCCAAUUUCGUUUCUGAUUUCACAAUUUAAUUAAGUCAUUAAUUUGAGUUUGAUAUUAUGACUUAAUGGGUGUCCGAACACGUUUAGAACUCAUUUUAACACCCCAUUCUAGUAGUCGUAAAAUUUUUAGAAUUAACCAUACCGGGUUACGGCAACUUGAUCGGGUGCGACCAAAAGCCCCGUCUAACGCUGGUAUUACAAUUCCACCCUGUCCAAAUCUUAGACACUAUUUAAAGAUGAUUAAGCUUCCAUUUAAAGCUUUUUCUCCCUCUCACUACUUUCUCUCUAACCCCUCUCCUCAAUCAAAGAUUCAAGGUCCAAAACAUUGAAUUAAGGCUCCAAAUCUUUGAGGUAACAUUCCUAACUUGUUAUUCAACCUCUUAGACCUUCAAAUUCGUGUUUAAACAUUGAAAAAGGACCAUCAUCAUGAGUUUAUGACCGUGGAGCAUGCUUGGGCCGUAAACUCAAGUAAAUUGGGUUUUGAGCACUUAAACCCCUCCAAACCAACUUUGGGACUUAGAUACGACUAUAUGGCUUAUCAUUCUGGAUUUAGAACACCCUAAACAUGGAUUUUGAGGAGCAAACAUGAGUUUACUGCCCAAGAACAUGCUUGGGCCAUAAACUCAUCACUCAUGGGUGGUAAACUCAUUUUCAAGUGUUAAAAAGCCAUGUAAACACACCAUUAGCCUUUGAAUAAAUCCUAGAACCAACCAAAAUUAGCUUGGGGACCUUAAACAUGGUGAAAUCCUUCCAUUUGAGUGUUUACGACCAUGACUCCGCUAUAACAAGUUCCAGGGCCGUAAACUCCUUUACAUAGCUCAAAUGGUGCCCAAAAUUCAUCCCAAGGCUUAGAAAAAUAGUUUGAAUCACAUGUGAUUGUCCUAGCAUCACUAAAUAAAUUAAGUAAUGGGUAAGAGGAAGUUUACGGCCGUAAACUCCAUGUUUACUGUCAUAAACUCCAAUAAAUGGUACUUAAGUGAAUUCAAUCCAUUCCAAGGCCCUAUAAUUAAUCCUAGCUAGUUUUCCCAAGUGUUAGCAUGCCAUUUAGCACCAUAAAAACCCCCAACCAUGAGUUCACGGCCGUGAACUCAUGUGUGUGUUCUGUAUAGGUCCGUAAACUCCAUAAGGAGUUUACUCUUGAAGAGUAAACUCAAUUCCCAAGUCCCACAUGUCCGUAGAUGUCACCCGGGUCACUCCAAACACUUGUUUUGAAGUGUUUUUGCUCAUUGGAGUGUAUUAUCAUAUCUAAUUAGUGGUUUAAAAAUCUAAUUAAAUACAUUUGGAUAUUAUUUCAUAUUACAUAGGAACCUCGCGUGUUAGCAAGCCCCGAACCAACGUUUAGCAUCCAAACAGUCGCGUUUUCUCGUCUGGUGAGUUCAUACCCCUACCCUUUUUCACUGUUUUCACUGUUUUCAGGGGGAGAAUACAAGCAAAGUACAAGGGACUACUUGUACUCAAAACUUGUUUGACAUGUGUGUGUUUCAUAUCUCAUAUGCUUUUUUAACAUUGAUUGUUAUAACUGAUAAUUGUUUGAACAUGCGGAGCACGUAAACAUAUAUUUGUGAAAUGGGUUAUAAACAGUUAUGUUUUAUAUAUUUCACAAAUGGUUAUCCAUAUUUUAUCAGUUAAAAGCAUGACAUUUGAACCUUUAACAUAAAAGUUAGUACACUGUUUUGUCCUCGGUAACACUCCACAGAGAUACGUGAGUGGAGGAUAAUCGUAUUAUUACUAGUAAAUUUGUUAAUCCUAUAUAAUUGGAGACACGUCCUCGGUGAACACUUAUUGCCAUAUCUAGUCUAUUCUAUGGUUAUUGAACUCACAAUUAGGAUAACAGAGAUUUACUUAAUAGUAAUAAUGAAUAAACUAAUUAAUUUACUUUGUAUAUAUUAGUUUUAUAUACGUGUUAAAACUAAUACACUUCACAAGGAUAACCAUGUUUUUCAGUAUACAUGUUUCACAUUUGGUAACCACCAUUCAGGAAAAUAUGGGAUUUUCCUGGGGAACAUUUAUACAUAACUAGAAAAGUGUAACAAACUAGAUAACUUUGCAUUUCAUAAGGGUAAACAUGUUUUCAGUGUACAUCUUUACUUCACAUUUUGGAUUCAAUAACCAACUUUUAAGAAAAUAUGGGAUUUUCUUAGUGUGUAACAUUUUCCAAAACGGAAAGGAACUUAUACAUUUUCCAUAAAACAAAACCGCUUAUGAACUCACCAGCGUUAUGCUGAUUUUCAAACUGCUUGUAUUCUAAGGUCCGUAUUAGACAGGUACCCGAUGAUUCCUUUUGGCGAAGAUGGAAUGUGCAGAAGGCUCGUCUCCUAUUGUUCAUAUAUACUAUGUAUCACUUGUAUAACUUUACUUUUGAAACAAAUGUAAACUUUUAUGUAUGUAAUGUAAUGGUUGUUUACUUUACUUACUAUGAGCAUUGGAUUUGAUACUCAACGUGGAGUCAACCCCGGAAAUGCUUCCGCCUUCGGUUUUCGGGGUGUGACAUGGCAUCCUUUUCAUGUGCCCUAAAGUCAGCGAUCUCUUGAGGAGUAGCAACUGUCUCAUCCAUCUCCUUAAGCUCCUUAUCGAGGACAUAUUAUUUGUCCUCGUAGCGGGUAAUCAUUCGGAUGUUUCUGAUCCGUUCAUUAAAGUUGGAUCCAUUAAAAAUGACUUUCCCACNAAGUUAUUAAAAAAAAGGGAGCCAUUAGGAUUAUAGCCACAAGCAGCAGUGUUUGCAGACAUCUGAAAAGAAGAAAAGUUUAGCUUAGAAAUAGAGAUAGUCCUUAAUAAAACACCCAAAUGUAGUAUUAAGGCUAGGACCAAUCACAAUAUAUUAUACUUAGAAGAGGUAUGUCGUAAUCUAAGUAAUAACAUAUUUGAAAGGUAGGUGAAUGAUGAUUCAGCAAUUUCCACCAAAGACGAAAUAUUAAAAUAUUUAAGUUGGUUCUUAGAAACUCCGAGAUUCUUUUGAGACUCAAUGAACUUUUCAAAGGCAUGUUUCAAUCUCGCGUGUGCCCUCCAUGUUUUGUGACUGGGAUGUCGAGGAUCACAAAACGAGGUGUGAAGUAACCAUGCAAAUUACUUGGUACCCUUAAUGUGUUACCCCUCAAUCGAUGUGCCAGUUAACCACACACGCUCCAUCGAUACUAUGAUAAACAUUAAGUCACCCUUUACCUACCUUGUUAAGUUCAAGUUAGUGUGUCAGUUAACCACACACGCUCCACUAACGACUUAAACAAAGUGUAAAGUGUAAUUUCAUGGAUUAGCACCUUAUUCACAUUUUUCCUAAAGUAACUAAGAUUAGGAAUUUAAUAAAACAUUUAGUUACUUUAUAAUUAUCAUUAUACUUUUAAUGAGAAUUUAUAAGUCCUUGUCCUACCCGUUCGGCUAACGACCCUCCACCAGUCAAGCAAGCGGUGGGUGAGAGUGGACACCCAUUAAGUUGACAUUUUAUAGGCAACAACCUUAUACCCACCUUAUAGACUAGCUUCGUGAAUGAGGCGUACUAGCGGUAAGACGACUUUGAUCUUAUACAUAUAUAUAUUAUUAUUAACUUAUAAUAUUAUAAGUAUAAGGGUUGAAUUUAAACUUUUAAAAUUUCUAAGGGUUUGAACUAAUGUUUUAAUCAAGACUUUACAUGAUCCAAAACUUGAGGGAAAGUUUUGUAAACUUUCAAAACUUUUCAUUUCUUGUAACUUAUGAGUUAAUUAGAGUAUUAAAAAUGAAGACUCUUCAUUUUUAUAACCCAUGUGUUCUUUGAAUGGUUUUAAAACAAAGUGACUUUUGGUUUUCCAUAACUUGACGACAUGUUAUGGACUCCAUUAAAACACAUAAUGAUCAUAAAUUAAUCUACCACAUAGGUUACAAAUAAUUCUUAUGAUCAUCUAAACAUCAUAAGAUCAAGAAUAUGAAUAUGAACACUUUCAUGAAUCAAAAAUUACACUAAAAAACUUGUAAUUUUGAUAAUUUGUCAAUGUAAAUGGAUUAAAAUGAACAUUACACAAACUAAAACAAGUUUUAAAACACCAAAACAGUUUAGGGUAGUGUUCCUAGUCCAUUUCCAGCAACAAAAAUCGAAAUUCUGGAAACUACAGCCUCUACUCGUCGAGUGCAUGAACUGACUCGACGAGUAGCUUGUAUUUGGUCAUGGACUCAUCGAGUCCCCCCAUGGACUCGGCGAGUUCAUACCGGCAGAAAGCAGAAAACUCGAUUUUUCAAGCAGCUUGCACAAAAAUCAAACAAGCAAGCCUAGGCUCUGAUACCACUGAUGAGUUUUGAGCAUUCUAACACUUCCUAAGUGUACAUGCAACCCUAAUAACCUUGGAUCUAUGUUUGUCUAAUAAUCAUGCAAAGUUGUUUUCCAAGGUUAUGAACCUAUCUAGCAUACAUGGGGUACAAUUUUCUUUGUAUAAAAGAUAGAACUACAUACCUUGUUGUUAAAAGUGCACCUUCAAACCUUGUGAACCUAGCACCUCAAGUGUGAUUCCUCAAAUGCUUCACACAAAACCAAAUCCAAUGAAUAAACUUGAGAGAAUACUCUAACACAUGCAAAAUCGGCCAAGCCCUCUUGUUUCUUAUGUGAAAACCAAUUUUGGGGAGAGUUACAUUGCUUAUAUAGUGUUUUGCAUUAGGUAAACCCUAAUGCUCCAUGACUCUUCAUUUCUUGAUCCAGGGGUUAACUCCAUGGAGCAUCCAUGGAGUAUCUUAUGGGUGGAACCCAUCUUGUUAAUCCAUGGAACGUCUUAGCCCACUAUAUAAGAUAUGGAAGAUUUACUUAAUCUACCCAUACUUCUAAUUAGUUAUGUUUUGAUCACUUAAUUAAUUCUAAAUUAAUUCUUGAUCAAAACUAAUUAAAUAAUAUUAUUAAUAUAUUAGAACUUAUAAUAUAUUAAUAAGCCAUAUGUGUUAUUUCUCUUAUUUAGUUUAUCCAAUUACAUGGUGCCAUGCAACCCAAAUGGACCAUGUCGGGUCGGAUCAAGUACAUACCAGAAACAAUUAUAGACUUAGACACCUUAUUUAACAGUUAUUUCAUCCAUGGUGUGUGAUUUAGGGUUCUUUAGCAUGGUUGGGAUCUAUUUCAGGUAUAGAGACUACAUCUGAGGUUGCAACUUCAGAUCUAGGUUGGUUUGGAGCCAUAAGAUCAGAAAGUGAUAGCUUUGGGGUGUGAUUGAGAGUGUCCUUGCCUUAAAACCUUCAUUUUUAGCUUGUUGGAGCUUGUUGAGCUUUGCAUACAUGUAAAGUUGGAAAAUUUAUGUGUGAAUCUGUUCCUAGGAGUCCAGAUCUAUUUAUUGGAAGCAAUGCAAUGGCCUGUGAUCGUCUGAAUGAGGAUGUCACAAAUGGACUCGGCGAGUCAGGCUAAGGAUCACACUUUGAGUCACGUAGUAACUCGGCGAGUCUCAUGGGUGACUCGGCGAGGAGUAGGAUGAUGAGCUUGGACUCGGCGAGUUAGAAGAACAACUCAGCCAGUCUGUUGAAUAUUGCCUUGGACUCGACGAGUCUGGUCAUGAAUUCCAAACCUUUUCUAGGUGAGCUGUGAAUCGGUGAGUCGAGGGAUGACUCGUUGAGUUGAGCAGGAAGGGACUUUGAGCUUGUUGAACUCGACGAGUCUUAACGCGACUCGGUGAGUUGAGUCAUGGCAUUGGGGAAAUUCUGAGCAUAGGAACUCGACGAGUCAACGGGUUGACUCAGCGACUAGGGUCAACCAGGAAGGCUGACUUUGACUUGGACCAAGGGUUGACCAAUUUGACUUCCAAGGGUAUUUUGGUAAUUAUUGGUAUUUGUUGGUUUUGGAUAUUUGGCAAUGAUCAGUGGUGGAGUUUUUGCUGGUGGUCGGAGCAGCGUGGUAUUAUUUCUUCAAGUCGGCAAUUGCAGGUGAGUUAUCCUCACUAUACCAAGGGUCUAAGGCACCAAGGUCGGUCCUUUGAAUUGUUGUUUGGAGUUGUUUAUGUUUAUGUGAUGUUAUGCUUGCUAGUAUCCUGGUUGAUAGGACAAUGAUAUGAGGAUAUGCUUGUUAGCUUAGCCCUAGAGAAAGGGACAGUUAAGUGAUGGUUAGUUCUUUUGGAUCAGCAACCUAGUAGUUGAGUAGUGGUUAAGAGUAUAGACCGGUAUUUGGUCUUGUCUUAUGUACGCUAUUCGGAGGUUACCAGCGGGUUAGGUAUGUUGAGCAGUAGUAGAGGGUAUUCCAUCCAGGUAGGAUGAUAAGGCCUUAGUGUGUUGGUUAUGUAGAAUGUUAUGUGGUUGCCUGUGUGACAACCCGAAACUUCUAACCCAUGUAAUUGAUCUGUGUUUCAGCACUAAAACUUGAGUUCAUUGUCUUUUAUUAAAUCUUGUGAUUCCAUAGGGGUGCUUUAGACUUAGUAUAAUCUAGAUGUGAGUCUUAGGAAGGGUUGGAGAGUGUUUAGUAUCACAAAAUAGGGCCAAAUCUCUCAAAAUAAGGUGUGUGCGUCCACACACCUGUGUGUAUGGCCACAUACCAACCGCAAACACCCUCAACCUCACACCCAAUUCAAUUUAUGGAUGGAUACCCCCCCUUUCAUUCAUUCAUUUAGAUGUUCUCUUCCCUCUCUCUACUUUCUCUCUCUAAAUCAUCAACCAAGAACACUUAGAAGGCUUCAUAAUCGUGAUCUAUUUCAUCUUCAAGCUAAGUAUAGUGGUAAACACCUGAAUCCCAAGCUUAAAACUCAUUAUAUUUUCAUAUUCAUCAUCCCAUGAAGGUGUACGGCCGCACACCUUCAUAUGGGGGCAGCACACAUUAAAAACACCCAAGUAUGAAGAGUAUACACUUCAAAAAUCAACAUAUGGACUCAAAUGAGGAGUGUACAACCACACUCUCUUGUGUGCUGCCUCACACACACUCCUGGCUGCACUCCCCAGCCGCACACUCAUUUUCAAGACCAUACACCCACUCUAAUACCCAUAUUUAGUCCGAAACUUGCAUAAAUCAUUAAGUUUGGAUCAUAGGACACUUAUUCUAAGUAAUUCGAAGCCCUAAGAAUGUUUUCCCAUCAUGUUUAGUCAUGAAACACCUUAGUUCUAACUCAUUUAUGUGUCGUCACAUGAAAAAUAGGGGCCAUAGGAGUUCAAGGCAUCCGGUGACACUCGAACUCUACAUUAAGCGGUGAGUUCAUACCCCUACCCUUUUUCACUGUUUUUAACUGUUUUCAGGGGGGAACACAAGCAAUGUACAAGGGGUUUCUUGUACUCAAAACUUGUUUUCAUGUGUGUGUUUCACAUUUUAUAUGCUUUUAACACUGAUCGUUACAACCGAUAACCGUUUGAACAUGCAGAUCACGUAAACAUAUAUUUGUGAAAUGGAAUUUAAAUUGUUAUGUUUUACAUAUAUUUCACAAAUGAUUUUUCACAUUUUAUUAGUUAAAAGCAUGACAUUGAACCUUUGAGCAUAGAACUUGUACACUGUUUUGUCCUCAGUAACACUCCACAGAGAUACGCGAGUAGAGGAUUAGCAUACUAUUACUAGUAACUUUGUUAGUCCUAUAUGAUUGGAGACAUGUCCUCGGUGAACACUCCACAGAGAUACGUGAGUGGAGGACUACACCCGUAACCAGAAUCUCUGGUUUUAGAGAGCGUGACUUGAGUUUAUAGAUCUAUACGGGGCUGACUCCCCCACACCUGGCUGCUAGCUACAGCCGAUCUGAAAUGGUUCAAGGGUGACGAAAGUCAUAAGGUGAUGUGGACUACUUAUUGCCACAUCUAGUCUAUUGUAUGGUUAUGGAACUCGCAAUUAGGAUAACAGAGGUUUACUUAGCAUUAAUAAUGAAUAACUUAACACAUUUCACAAGAUAACCAGGUUUCAGUAUACAUUUUCUUUACAUUGGUAACCAACAGUCAGGAAAGUAUGGGACUUUCCUGGGGAAACAUUUUACAUAAUUAGAAAAGUGUAACAAACCAGGUAACUUUACAUAUCAGAAGGGUAAACAUGUUUUUUAGAAUUCAUCUUUUACAUUUGAUAACCAACAAUUUAGGAAAGUAUGGGAUUUUCCUGGGAAUACAUUGUACCUAACUAAAACAGAUAACCUAACUAUACAUUUCCACAAGAAUAUACGUGUUUUUAGUGUACUACUUACUUUUCAUGUUGAGAAACAAUAACCAAUCUUUUUAAGAAAAUAUGGGAUUUUUCUUUGGGUGUGUAACAUUUUCAGAAACAGAAAGGAAACUUGAACAUUUUUACAAAACAAAACUGCUUAUGAACUCACCAGCAUUAUGCUGAUUAUCAAACCGCUUGUGUUCUGAGGUCAGCAUUAGACAUGUACCUGAUGAUCUCUUUUUGCAAAGACGGAGUGCGAAGAAGACUUGUCUCGUUUUAUUUAUAUAUACAAAGUAUCACAACUGUACAACUUAUUUUUGAAACAAAUGUAAAACUUUUCAAUACGUAAUGUAAUGGUUGUUUUACUUUACUUACUAUGUGCAUUGGAUUUGAUACUCAACGUGGAGUCAACCCCGGAAAUGUUUCCGCCUUCGGUUUUCGAGGUGUGACAGCCUAUUAUGUGUAUAUGUUUGCUAGAGUAGUUGGCAUUCCAACCCGAUGGUUGUGGUCCAUGAGUAUUCCAUCCUCGCAGGAUGAUUGGACUCAUAAUAGGUUGGCAUUCCAACCCGAUGGUUGAGGGGCCUGGGGUAUUCCAUCUUGAGGGAUGAUUGGACCCAUAGUAAUAGUUAUAGUACAUAUAGGAAGUGGGGCAUUCCAACUCGUUGGUUGUGGGCCAGGAGUAUUCCAUCCCGGUAGGAUGAUCGGACUCGUAGUAUGUUGGCAUUCCAACCCGAUGGUUGAAGGGCCUGGGGUAUUCCAUCUUGCGAGAUGAUUGGACCUGUAGUAGUUAUUGUUGUGUGUAUAGGAGCGUGGGCAUUCUAACCCGAUGGUUGUGGGCCGAGAGUAUUCCAUCCCAGUAGGAUGAUUGGACUCGUAGUAUGUUGGCAUUCCAACCCGAUGGUUGAGGGGACUGGGGUAUUCCAUCCCGAGGAAUGAUUAGACCCAUAGUAUGUUGUUCUUUGUUGUAUACAUAUUUUUAUGUGUAUAUGGGUACUUUGGGGGAACUCACUAAGCUUUCGGGCUUACAGUUUUGGUUUAUUGUUUCAGGUACUUCACGAGAUUGUGGCAAGGCGAAGGCGUGAUCGUACCGCUCCUUAUGUUUAUGUUUUUAUGAUAUGGUUCUGGAAAAUACUCUGAUGUUUAAACUAUUUUGAAAACAAGUUUUAUUAAUUUAAUGGUGUUUUAAUGAAAUCAAAUGUUUUAAAUUGGUUGAAACUUUAUGGUCGUUACAGAUAAGGUUUAUUCUUGAUUUGUUCUUGAAACCCUUUUCAUGAUCAUUAAAACUCCCACUGACUCCUUGACAUAUAAAGUUCUCUUGUCAAGAAAUAUUUCUUGACAAAAAAAUAUUCAAGAGUUAGUGUAGUUGUUAUCAAGACAAAACACUUCACAUAAUAGGUCCUAGUUGGUCUUUGUCGUAUCCAAUACAACAUAACUUACCAAUUUCAAAUGUGCAAGAAUAAGAAAACUUUUCCAAAUUCCACAUUUGUUGAGUGUUAUAAACCUUCUUAAGACUUUGUCACUUAAUUCACAAUCUUGGAGUAUAACUCUAAGACUUGAUAUUGGAAUGAAUUAUGAUUGACUUCUUGUUUUAACCAUUUCCAUAAUUCUCGAUUCCUCUUCUUAGACAUACAAAUGUACUAAGACUCACUUAGAGGACCUAUUGAGAUAAGGUUCUUAAUCAUUAAGACUUUAUCAUAAAACACAAUAAAAGUUAUUCUCCCUUCUUCUUAGAAUAGAGAAACUUUUAUCUUUCUGCCUACUUGAUUCUUCUUAUUCGUUCUGUCAUUCAUUCAAACUCUUCCAAUAAACUCAGAAUUUCACUUAUUCUUAUACGUAUAAUCAUAUUUACUAAACUUUUAUUAAAUCAUGACAAAUAUCUUUAUUACUCUUGUGGUGAACUUGAUUGAUGCACAACAUUAUGAAAUCGAUCUCCUAGUCCUUCACUUAAAUUUUUAUCAAUGAAUUUGCCUCUAAUUUGCAAUUAUAAAGUUUCUCAUUCAUCACACAACCAAGUUGUAUGAUUCCAAGUUUCUGUCCAAUUGAAACUUGGGUGAUGAGAAACUCUCUAUUUGGUAAAUUCUUGACAUUUUCGCAAAUAAUAUAAUUAAGAAUCAAAUCCAUUAUUGCUAAUAAUAGAAACCUUCAAACAUCAAUUUUUCAUACAUGCCAUUGCAAGGAUAAAUAAAUAAGAUAAAAUCAAAAUUCAUUUUACAGCGGAAAAAAAUUGGUACUUACAAUGCAAUUCAAUUGAAAAACUAUGUUAUUACAUAUUUCUUAGCAAUCUAUUCUAACUCCAAGUAGUGGCUCAAGAAUCCAAUCGUCAAGCAAUGCGACCGAAAUCCAUUUCUUCAAGAUUAGAUUUAGCUCAUUUCUUCCCUUAAGCUUCCUCUCUUUUCUUCGAUCUUACAAGACAUCAAAAUGUAAUCUUAUCACAUCUUGUAUUAAGAAUCUACAAUAGGAACUUAAAAGAGUUAGUUAAUGGAUUUUACCUAAAGCAGAGCCAUACGUCUUGACUCUCCCAUCUCUUAGAUCUCUCAGGUAGUUUGGGCAGCUUCAUCUGUAAUGCCCCAUCUCUUGGCAAUAAAAGCAAAUGGACUCCUUAGGCACAACACAUCGGACGAUCACAGACUUAGUUUUUUCUAGACUUCUAAUGUUGACAGUAUCCAUUGAUGUUUGGGAUUUUGAUUCACUAGAAAAAUUUGCUUGACCAGGACGCCAAAUCAUUGCUGAUUCAGCAGCUAUAAGCAAAUAGGUGAGAUCAAUGAGGGUCACGUCGUGAACCAUCGUAUAGUACUCUCUUACGAACUCACUAUACGAAUCAGGAAGUGACUAAAGAACCCAGUCAACAACCAACAUCUCUAAGAUAUCGACACCCAACAUCCUUAACCUAUCAAUGUGUGACUUCAUCUCUAAGACGUGUGCACAUACAAGUUUCCCAUCUUCGUGCUUACUUGCCAAAAGGGAUUGAGUAAGCUUGAACUUUUCAAGCCUAUUAACUUGUGGGUCAGGGAGAACAAUUGGAAGAGGUGGAGGAAGUGAAGCAUGACUCUCAUUUCCUUGAUUGUAUCUCGGAACGUCAUCAUCGUUUGGAAAGCUUGUUCCAAUGGAUUUGGGUAGACCAUUGUAAGAUUCAGACAUCUACAAAACGGGAGAAAAUUCAAGUUAAGUUGAUUGAUUCCUUAAUAAAAUACCCAAAUGAGUUAUUAAGGCUAGGAUCCAACACAAUAUUCUACAACCUAGAAGAAGGAUGUCGUAAUCUAGUUGCAGAAUAUUUGAAGGUAGGUAAAUGACAAUUUACCAAUUUCCACCAUGAAAAACGAAAAGGAAGUUUAUGUUUUAAAUGAAUUGAAACUCCUAGAUCUUUUGAGAUUCAAUGAAAUUUUCAACGGCAUGUUUAAAUCUCGAUUAUGCCCUUCUAUUUGUGACUGGGAUGCUGAGGAUCACAAAUAAGGUGUGAAUAACCAUACGAAUCACAUGGUGCACUGAAUACUACUAUCACCUAAUCACUAUGUCGGUUAGCCACACACGCUCCAUUGAUCUAUGACAAACAUCGAGCCACCCUUCGCUACCAAUUUCAUCCACAAAUUAGUGUGUCGAUGAACCACACACGCUCUACUAACGUUUGACAAGGGUACAAAGUGUAAUUCCAUGGAUUAGCAUACAAUUUUACAUUUUGCUUAAAGUAACUAUGAUUUGUGAAUUUGUAAAAGCAUUUAGUUACUUUGUACAUCAUUAUACUUAUAAUGGAAGGUUUAUGUCCUAUCCUACCCGUUCGACUAACGACCCUCCACUAGUCAAGAGUGCGGUGGGUAAGAGUGGAUACCCAUUCAAUCGCCAUUUUAUAGGCAAUUUCCUUAAACACCCCUUAUAGACCAGCUUCGUGAAUGAGGCCUACUAACGGUAAGACUGACUGUUUACUCAUAUAUAUAUAUAUAUAUAUAAUAUUAGACUUUUAAUGUUACAUAUAUAUAUAUAGUAUAGGGUGUAUUUUACACUUUUAAAAUACUAGGUGGUCUAAUUUAAUAAAUUAUACAUUUAAUUUAAUUAAAUGUAAACCAAAACUUUAUGUUUUAUUAAAUCUAUUUUAAUUAUAUAAUUUAAUUAAUUAAUAAAAACAUAAGGGUGUAAUUUGAACUUUUCGAAGUACUAGGGUUUUAGAAUUUAACAUUUCAAAAUUAAACUUUUAAUUAAAUUUUAAAUUCCAAAACUGGAGCGUAAGUUUUGAACAUUUCAAAAUAUUAUGGUUCAACUAUUUAAAUUUCAAAACUAAAACUAUUAAGCUCAAAUUUAAACUAUGAAACCUUAAGGGUUAAUUUGAAACUUUUCCAAACUUUAUCAACAACAUUCUAGAUCACAAAAUUCAAAUACGACAAUUAUCUAAUUUUGACCUAGUCCAAUUUCUUGCAAGAUAAUUCACCAAAUAAUUCAAAUAAUGAAAUUUUAUCAUAUAAGGAAAUAAUUAUUUAAUUAAUAUGAAGUUAUCUUUUAUUUUACCAAGGAUAAUCAUCCAAUAUCAUAAAAAUCUGAUUUGUAUCAAUAAAAAACGUUUUGGUAACUAUCCCACCGCCAAAGGAGCACAAAAUCCCGAAAUUGACUGUUUCUGACCUGUUGACUCGUCGAGUCAAGCAUGGACUCGUCGAGUUCACCAUGGACUUGGCGAGUUCACCCAUGGACUCAGCGAGUUCAUCCAUGGACUCGGCGAGUCCAGCCCCCAAAAACCCUAAUUUUCGAUUUUAAAGCAUGAAUAAUCAACUAUAGCAUCAAAUACAUAAAACAAACAACCCUAGUCUCUGAUACCACUGAUGGGUUUCGAGUAAUACAUCAUUCAUAUGGUGUACAUGCAAACCCUAAUAGCUUUUGGAUCUAGUUUGUCUAAUGAAUAUGCAAUUGAAUAUCCAAAGCUAUAAACCCUAGAUCUAGCAUACACUUAAUCAUAUUAACAUAAAAUAAGGUUUAGAUUUGACCUUAGAUUGUUAUAUAGCAAUAACAAUCAAUCCUUAGCUUUAGAAAGCUAAGCGCCUCAAGUGUUGCACCUUUAAUGGAGUCACAAACACCACUAAGCAACAAGGAUGAAUAGGGACAAGAGGGGAGGCACCAAAAACAGCUGGAAACCCUAAUCCAAGUGGUCACCACGUUUUUGGGUCCAUAAGGGUCCUUUAUAUAUGUAGGCUAUUAGGGUUUUCAACUAGGAAACCCUAAUGUGACUGCUUAGGCCUUAAGCAGUCCAAUGGACCAUUCCAGAAGGCCCUUGGACGAUUUCUUUAUGGACUUCCAUAUAGAAUUCGUUCAUUGCCAUCUAAUGGAUCCUAAGCCCCACUUUGUAACUAUCUUAUAAUUACAAUAUCAGUCCCCUAUGUUUAAUUAAUCUCUUUUAGCCACAAAAUUAAUUCUUAAUUAAUUCUUGACUAAUAUUAAUUAUACAUUAUGAUUUCUCCUUUAAUAUAUUAUUCUUAUAAUAUAUUAAUAAAUCAUAAUUAAACCUUUCCCUCCUUAAUUCAUCCAACAUAUUGUUAUGGUGAUGGCAAACCAAAAGGACCAUGCUCAUAAUCAGGUCAAGUACAUACCAAAAUAGUUAUGGACUUAGACAGUAAUCCAACAGAUUCAACCCGGGCUCACCAAAAUUACUUCAUGGAAUUUAUCACGACUAAUUGUGAGAUGAUAAUAUCAUAUAAUCUUGAAACCUAGAUAUAUGAGUUGUGGACUACAAGUUGGUUGUGCAUUGAUGAUACGAAAGUGCAUAAGUAACUUGUUGUUAUAAAACAUAUCGUUGUUCAUGAUUUGAUGAGUAGUUAGUACAAGCAUAUAAUGUCGAAGUUUAUAUGUUCCUUUUAUCCUAAGAGGAUUAAAAGCGAUAUCUUGGGCCCCUCGAGCUAAAUUGAUGUGUUCAAUUAUUUUCUAUGUUGGACGAAUCACAAAUCGGGAAACAAACUGCUGGACAAUAAGUAUGACACUGUUUGUAACAGCCCGAAAUCUAGGUAAGCUUUAUGACCCUUCUAUUUUGGAGAGUUGGCAUUUUGGUCCCUUAAAGUUGUAUGUUGGAUUGGUGAGUACGUUGGGCGUACUGAGGUGUACGCCACAUGUACUCACACGCUUAAAUUGUACGCGGACUCGCCCGGGUACGCUGGGCGUACCCAGGGGUUAUGCUGGGCGUAGUGAGCCCGGAUGCAAACCCUAAUUUCUGGCUUGUACACUAUAAAAGGAAAAUGUAGUCCUUUGCCCUAGCCACCAUAUCCCCUUGAGUGAGUCAUUUGAGAGCUUAGAUCCGUGCUUUAGCUUUUGUGUGUGUUUUUGAGCUUGAAGUUAUCCUUUCAAGGUGAAGAAGGAGAAGGAAGAGCCAUUAUUGGAGCUAGAAGUUGAAGAACAAGUGUAGAUCCAAGAUAUACAGUGGUUGGAGAUCCCUUCUGAGGUAAAAAGCUAAAAGCUUUCCUUUUUCUUCAUAAGUUUUGGUUUUUGGACCAUUUUUAGGGUUUUUAAUUCAAUGUUGGAGACUUUGUGUGCAUAGAGUCUCCAUGACCUUAGAUCUGACCUUUUCUAGUGUAUAUGGUGUUGAGGAUUCAUAAAAAUCCAGUCUUGGACAUGGAUCUUGUGUCAUGCAUGAGUUAUAGUCUCAUUAUGGAAAGAGGAAAGGUUUUUUGAGAACAAAGUGACCUUUACAGCCAUGCAAGGCUUAAAGGUUUCAACUUUAUGGAUUAAGUCAUAUUAGAGGAGUCGGAUCUGAAGUUUGCACGCAAGUCUUAACUGAUUAAGACCUGAAUAAGAUGGAUAAAGAAGUUGGGUAUUACGUUGCGCGUAAUCCCAGUACGCGCGGCGUAAGGGGCCGCAUACCCCGAUUCUGUGUAGUCUCCGGGUACGCCCGGCGUACACGUUUGGUACGCGCAGCGUAACCCAGAGGGUUGACUUUUGUUGACUUUUAGGGUUUGGUCAACUUCAGUGUAUUUGAGCCAAGGGGUAAAAUGGUGUUUUACCUUUCCUGAGAGUGGGUAGAAGUAAUGGUCUAGCCUUGGGAAAUAUGUUGUUAACGAGUGUUUAUUUCAUAUGAUUAGGCGGAGGCUUGGUCUUACUUCACUGAGUCUGAGAUUUCCAAGUUACCGAGUUACACGAGGUGAGUCUUCUAAAUAUACGUUACCUAGAGUGGCAUUAUGUGUUGAACAGAGGGUCCUAUCUAUUAUGUGUGAGAUUAUGUGCUAUAUGUUAUAUGUAUGUUGUAUGAUUUUAUAGACCAGAACGGAGGGUCCAACAAUAGAGACCGGGCCGGAGAGCCCAACGAGCUAUGACCGGACCAGAGGGUCCAAUGAGUUGCGGGACUGGAGGGUCCCACUGAGACACAUUGACCGGAAGGUCAUGCUAUAGCCUCGAGUGGUGUAUGUGUUGUAUGCGGUGUUUUGGGGAACUCACUAAGCAUUUAUGCUUACAGUUGUUGUGUUAUGUGUUUCAGGUACUAGUGAGGACUGUGGGAAGGCGUCGGCGUGACCCGUACACACUAGAGAAGGGAUUUGAUUUUGUGAUCUUGGGAAAUGUUAUGUUUCAAUAACUAUUGUUGAAUACUUUUGAGAAUAUUUUUAUAUAAAUUUGGUUGCUGAAAAAUGAAAAUUUUGUUUUGGAAAGUACGUUGUUACAAGUUUGUAUCAGAGCCUUGGUUUGAGGGACUAGGAUGCACCUUUGGGCAUAUCUGAACUCAAAAUGAGGAUUUGAGAAAUUUUCAACAAUAAAAACUAAAUUUUCUAAAAGAGCAAGGAGUUUUGAGAAAACUAGAGUAGAGCAUUGUGUACGGUCAGCCAGCGCCCGAAUGGUGAAUCCCCAAAAUACCCUUACAUUAUGUGUUAUGAGAUAUGUUAUGUUAUGUUAUGAAUGCUAGAGUAGGCUAGGUGUUCAUAUUAUGACUAGAGUGGCCUGAUUUGUGCUGCCUUAGCCUAGGGAAUUUCUGCGGCUAUGAGAUGCCUUGAGAGCGAGUAGGUAGCAGAUAGGAGCUCAUGAGAGAUCUAUCAGAGGGUAGAAAAUGCUUAGCGAGAGUAGAGUACUUGUGAUCCGAGAUCCAAGGAGGAGGACUUGGGUGAAUGCUGAUGCGGUGUUCUCAGUAGUAUAGGGCCUGUACUAGUGAAGACACCAGAUCAGUGAGCAGUCCAAGUAAGAAUCCUUUAGAUAUUGGAGGAGGAGUAGGGUUGCGUUAUCGAGUGUGAGUAUGGUCGAUCGAGUCUCUAAUGUUUACAUGUUGUAUUUCAGAGGCAUCAUGGUUGGGACACGACACACACCUGAGAGCAGUGGUGUCAGCGACGAGGAGAUCCGUCGAUUGAUACAUGAGGACGUGGUUGCUUCCAUCCAGGCUGAGAUUACAGAGAUGUUCGGGGACAUCAAGAUCACAUUGAUUGAGACCUUUGACAAGCGAUAUGUAGCAGUGACUGAGGCUGCGGCUGCUGCUGUUGCUGCUGCCAGACCUCAGGGAGGUGACUCGUUGUUGUUUCGGGAGUUCAUUAACACGAAGCCACCAGAGUUCAAUGGGACGUAGGACCCGAUUGCUAUGAUGAGAUGGAUCUCUGACAUCGAGGGAUGUUUCUAUAAGUGUUCUUAUCAAGAGCACCUGAGGGUACGGUUCGCUCUAAACCAGCUCCGCCUGGGAGCGAAGCAUUGGUGGAAGUUCGUGACGGCGAGAUUUACUCUGGCAGAGAUUUCUAAGAUGACCUGGGAGAGAUUCACCGCCAUGUUCAGAGACGAGUAUGUUCCCCCGGUAGAGAGGAAACGGUUGAUUUAGGAUUUCCUGACCCUCAAGCAGAGUAUUGAUUCUGUUACGGUUAUUAACAGGAAGUUUCAUGAGAGGGAAAUGUUUUGCCAUGAGCAGGUGUCUUCUGAGCAGGCUCGUAUGAGCCGAUAUCUGAGUGUUCUGAGGAGAGAUAUUUGGGAUUUCGUGGCGAACUCGACUUACCGGAAAUUUGCUGAGCUCCAGGCAAAUGCCCUGAAGAGGGAGAUUGAGUUGGAGACUCAGGCCAGGGAGGAGGCCGAGUCAUAGAGGAUGGAUCGGCGGCCGACUCAGUCUCAACCGGCAGCCAAGCGGGCCAGACCCACUGAUUCGAGAUCUGGGAGGGCGAAGGGAUGCACUUAUGGGAAGUGUGGCAAGGGUCACGAGGGGUCGUGCCUGGCAGGAGUAUGCUACAAGUGCGGGAAGGAGGGGCAUGUCGCGAGGGAUUGCCCAAAGGGAUUUUCGGUUUGCUUCCAUUGCAACCAGACCGGCCAUCGGAAGGCCAAGUGCCCUUUGGUACUUUAGGGAUCAACGCAAGGAUUUACGCCUGCUGCUAGGGCUACCGAGGUUCGGCCAGUGAAGGCCGAGGCACAAAAGGCUCGUGGGAGAGCUUUCCAGUUGACUGUGGAGGAGGUCCGUGUAGCGCCUGAUGUUGUGGCUGGUAUGUAUUCUAUAUUUAUCCUUUUUUUUAGUUGAGAUAUUGUGCUUAUAUGAUGAUAUGCAUAGGUUCUUUUCUUGUGAGUUAUGUGCCUGCUUUGGUAUUAUUUGACUCGGGUGCGAGUCGGUCAUUUGAUUCCUUGGCAUUUAGUCAGCACAUUAGUAUCCGUCGAGAGGCGUUUAGUCGACCUCUGCGAGUUUCCAUAGCUGACGAGCGAGCGGUGUUAGCUACGGAUGUGAUUCGAGGAUGUAUACUUGAUAUCUUCGGUGUGGAGUUCCCGAUAGAUCUGGUCCCGAUUGCGAUGGGGGACGUGUGUGUUAUAGUGGGCAUGGAUUGGUUGAGCUAAUUUGGAGCUAUCAUAUACUGCGAGCGUCAGUUGGUGAUGAUACUAGACCCUAGUGGGGGAGUACUUACGGUGUACGGCAAGGGGACCCGAUGUGGGUCAGCGUUUUGCUCGGCUGCUAGGGCGAGGCAGAGUUUGCAAUAGGGCUGCAGCGGAUUCGUAGCCUAUGUGAUGGACAUGCGAGUGGCCGAUGGGAGGCCAAGUUCGAUUGAUGAGGUUCCGUUAGUGUGUGAGUUUCCGGAUGUUUUUCCUGAAGAAUUUCCGGGCGUGCCUCUCGAGAGGCAAGUGGAGUUCCGUAUCGAUUUGGUUCCGGGGGCAGCACCUAUCGCUAAGGCGCCUUAUCGCCUCGCGCCGCCUGAGAUGCAAGAGUUAUCCUCGCAGCUUCAGGAGUUGUUGGGGAAGGGGUUUAUUAGACCGAGUAGCUCACCUUGGGGAGCGCCAAUCCUUUUUGUCAAGAAGAAGGUUGGUUCACACCGGAUGUGUAUUGAUUACCGGGAGUUGAACAAGCUGAUGGUCAUGAACCGUUAUCCGUUACCGAGGAUCGACGAUCUGUUCGAUCAGUUACAGGGAGCGUCUUGGUUCUCCAAGAUAGACUUGAGGUCGGGAUAUCACCAGAUGAGGCUUCGGGAUGAAGAUAUCCAGAAGACAGCAUUCAGGACUCGUUACGGGCAUUACGAGUUCGUGGUGAUGCCUUUCGGGCUCACUAAUGCACCAGCAGCAUUCAUGGACCUCAUGAACAGGGUGUGCAGGCCGAUGUUGGAUCAUUCGGUGAUCGUAUUCAUUGACGAUAUCUUGGUGUAUUCAAGAUCCAGAGAGCAGUAUGAGGAGCAUUUGAGGGAGAUUCUCAGAGUUCUGAGAUCGGAGAGGCUUUACGCCAAAUUCUCCAAGUGUGAUUUUUGGUUACGAGAGGUCCACUUCCUAGGGCACCUCGUUAACCAGAAGGGGAUAUUGGUCGAUCCGGCAAAGAUCGAGGCGGUGAUGAGUUGGGAGGUGCCAAGGUCACCUACCGAGAUCAGGAGUUUCAUUGGGUUGGCUGGUUAUUAUAGGAGGUUUAUCAGCGAUUUCUCUAAGAUCGCCGUGCCACUCACCAAGUUGACUCAGAAGGGGGUUACUUUUUCUUGGGGUCCGGAAUAGCAGACCUCAUUUGAGACACUUCGCUAGAGAUUGUGCGAAGCUCCGAUGCUCGCACUCCCGGAAGGGAUGGAGGAGUUUGUAGUGUACAGUGAUGCAUCGAUAUCAGGGAUGGGAGCGGUGCUUAUGUAGAGGGGGCAUGUGAUAGCAUAUGCAUCGAGGCAGCUGAAACCUCAUCAUUCGAGGUAUCCCACCCAUGAUCUGGAGUUGGGGGCACUGGUGUUCGCCCUCAAGAUAUGGUGUCACUAUCUGUACGGGAUUCGGUGUACUAUAUCCACAGACCACAAGAGUUUGAAAUAUUUGAUGGAUCAGCUCAACCUGAAUAUGCGCCAGAGGAGAUGGCUGGAUGUGGUGAAGGAUUACGAUUGUGAGAUCCUGUACCACCCGGGCAAGGCUAACGUUGUAGCCGAUGCCCUAAGCCGUAAGGCAGAGGGCGCCCCGAUAGGAGAUGUUUGCAUGAGAUUGACAGUGAUGACUCCGGUAUGGGACGCCAUUCGAGGGGCCCAGGCGGAGGUCGUGAGACCGGAGAACCGCAAGAGGGAGCGAGUGAUCGGGCAGGCAUCGGAGUGUGUUACCCAUAGUAGAGGACUUAUGACCAUCCAGGGUCGGGUUUGGGUACCGUUUGUGGGCGAAACGCAUAGCGUCUUGAUGGAGGAGGCGCAUAGAUCAAAGUUCUCGAUCCACCCCAGGGCCACAAAGAUGUAUUUGGACUUGAAGAAGGAGUAUUGGUGGCCCUGUAUGAAGAGGGAUGUUGCAUGGUUCGUAGAGAAGUGCUUGACCUGUCGCAAGGUUAACGCCGAGCACCAGUGUCCGCAUGGUAAGGUGCAGCCGUUAGAGAUUCCUGAGUGGAAGUGGGAACAGAUCACCAUGGAUUUUAUCACCAAAUUGUCGAGGACUUCCAGGGGUGUCGAUGCAAUUUGGGUGAUUGUGGAAAGGUUGACGAAGAGCGCUCACUUCCUUUCCAUCAGUGAGAGCUCUUCCGCGGAGAGGCUGGCAGAGUUGUAUGUUAGGGAGGUGGUAUCGCGACAUGGAGUACCGAUCUCGAUCGUCUCAAAUCGAGAUGUUCGUUUCACUUCCAGAUUCUGGAAGAAAUUUCAUGAGGAACUGGGUACGAGGCUGCAUUUUAGUACCGCAUACCACCCACAGAACGACGGGCAGAGCGAGUGGACGAUUCAGACGCUCGAGGACAUGCUUUGGGCAUGUGUGCUGGAUUUCGGCGGGAGUUGGGACACGUAUUUGCCCUUGGCUGAGUUUUCCUAUAACAACAGCCAUCACUCGAGCAUUGGUAUGCUACCUUUUGAGCUGUUGUAUGGAAGGAGGUGUUGUGCCCCCAUUUGCUGGGGCGAGGUAGGGAAACGUAUGUUGGGUAGUACGGAGAUAAUGCUUCAGACGACAGAGCAGAUACGACAGGUCAUACAGAGGUUAUUGACCGCUCAGAGUUGCCAGAAGAGUUACGCGGAUAGGCGAAGAUCCGAACUCGAGUUCCAGGUUGAUGAUUUUGUGCUCCUGAAGGUAUCUCCUUGGAAAGGAGUGAUCCGAUUCAGGAAAGGGGCAAGCUGGGACCUCGGUAUAUUGGUCCGUUUAGAGUGAUCGUGAGGGUGGGAAAAGUAGCGUAUCGCUUGGAGCUACCGGCAGACUUGGACCAGAUUCAUGAUACCUUCCACGUGUCGUAGCUGAGGAAGUGUAUUGCCGAUGAGUUGGCAAUGGUACCAUUAGAGGAUAUCCAGGUGGACGUAAGUUUGAAUUAUGCUGAGAAGCCGAUCGCAAUCUUGGAUCGGAGGAUCAAGGUUCUGAGAAACAAGGAAGUGCCCCUGGUUCAGGUCCAGUGGCAACAUCGUAGAGGGUCCGAGCUGACCUGGGAGCCAUAGUCGGAGAUGCGGGAGCAGCAUCCGGAGUUGUUCGCUGCAUGAUACUUCGAGGGCGAAGUCUAGUUCUAGUGGGGGAAAAUUGUAACAACCCGAAAUCCAGGUAAGCUUUCUGACCCUUCUAUUUUGGAGAGUUGGCAUUUUUGUCCCUUAAAGUUGUAUGUUGGAUUGGUGAGUACGCUGGGCGUAUUGAGGUGUACGUCGCGCGUACUCACACGCUUAAAUUGUACGCGGACUCAUUUGGGUAUGCUCGGCGUAGUGAGCCCAGAUGCAAACCCUAAUUUCUGGCUUGUGCACUAUAAAAGGAACAUGUAGUCCUCUGCCCUAGCCACCAUAUCCCCUUGAGUGAGUCCUUUGAGAGCUGAGAUCUGUGCUUUAUCUUGUGUGUGUGUUUUUGAGCUUGAAGUUAUCCUUUCAAGGUGAAGAAGGAGAAGGAGGAGCCAUUAUUGGAGCUAGAAGUUGAAGAACAAGUGUAGAUCCAAGAUCUACAGUGGUUGGAGAUCCCUUCUGAGGUAAAAAGCUCAAAGCUUUCCUUAUUCUUCAUAAGUUUUGCUUUUUGUACCAUUUUUAGGGUUUUUGGUUCAAAGUUGGAGACUUUGUGUGCAAAGAGUCUCCAUGAGCUUAGAUCUGACCUUUUCUAGUGUAUAUGGUGUUGAGGAUACAUAAAAAUCCAGUCUUGGAUGUGGAUCUUCUGUCAUGCAUGAGUUAUAGUCUCAUUAUUGAAAGAGGAAAGGUGUGUUGAGAACGAAGUGACCUAUAUAGCCAUGCAAGGCUUAAAGGUUUCAAAUUUAUGGAUUAAGUUAUAUUAGAGGAGUCGGAUCUAAAUUUUGGAUGCAAGUCUUAACUUAUUAAGACCUGAAUGAGAUGGAUAAGGAAGUUGGGUAUUACGCUGGGCAUAAUCCCAGUACGCGCGGCGUAAGGGGCCGCUUAACCCAAUUCUAUGAAGGCUCCGAAUAUGCCUUGGGUACACGUUUGGUACACGCAGCGUAACCCGGAGGGUUGACUUUUGUUGACUUUUAGGGUUUGGUCAACUUUAGUGUAUUUGAGCCAAGUAAGGGGUAAAAUGGUCUUUUACCUUUCCUGAGAGUGAUUAGAAGGAAUGGUCUGGCCUUAUGAAAUAUGUUGUUAACGAGUGUUUAUUUCAUAUGAUUAAGCGGAGGCUAGGUCUUACUGCACUGAGUCCGAGAUUUCCGAGUUACACGAGGUGAAUCUUCUCACUAUACGUUUCCUAGAGUGGCAUUAUGUGUUGACCAGAGGGUCUUAUCUGUUAUGUGUGAGAUUAUGUGCUAUGUGUUAUAUGUAUGUUGUAUGAUUUUAUAAACUGGACAGGAGGGUCCAUGUAACAGCCCGGAAUUUCAGGUAUUUCUUUAAAUUAUUUUUGGGGCACAUUUAGGAGGGGACUCGGCGAGUUGGUGCACGACUCGCCGAGUAGGGCCAUGGUCUUGGUCGCAGACGCGCGACUGGACUCGACGAGUCCAAAAAGGGACUCGGCUAGUCGACGCCGUUCAACUGAACCCUAGCCGUUUCAUUUCUGAUCGUAUAUAACGAUCUUAUGGCCGUCAUGUCGCGUCUUUUGGCCGGUUGAAGAUCCCCUGGGAGUGUGUGAGCAUCUGAAGCAAGAGAGAGGACUUGAGAAGGCUUGAAGAGAUUGUUAGACAAGGAGGAGCAAGGUGGUGAUCAAAGGAAUCGAGUACUGGAGGUUUGGAGACACAGGGAACACGUUUCCAGGUAAUCUUCGGAUCGAAAUCUGUAACUUUUACGUUGUAUGCGAGUUUAGGGUUUAGGAAACCCAAUUAAGGGUUAGUUAGAUUAUAUUGUUGUUAUAAGUGUUAAAAACCCUUGUAAUAGUAUAUGUGGAAGUCCAGGAAGCCCUAUAACUAUAUACUUCGAAAUCAUGCGAAAUACAGGAGGCAGUGGAUUGACUGCAUGGCGAGGACUCGCCGAGUCCAAUGAUCAGACUCGGCGAGUAGCUUGAAGAUUCACUAGAACUCGCCGAGUUGUUCUUCAGACUCGGCGAGUAGCUUGAAGGUUCACUAGGACUCGUCGAGUUGUUCUUCAGACUCGGCGAGUAGCUUGAAGAUCUACUGGAACUCGUCGAGUCGUUCUUCAGACUCGGCGAGUGGUGUCAGGAUGUCUAUACUCGUCGAGUUACCCUUUGCACUCGACGAGUCCGGUCAAGAUUGACCGUUGACCUGUAUAUAUCUUAGAGGGGUCAGUUGUCUUGUUUGAUAAGAUCAUUAACUAGGGCUGUGGUAUUAUAGGGAACCUGCGGACUAGCGGAUUGUGUGCGAGUAGCUCGAAGAGGUUAUAGCCUGCGUACUACGAGGUGAGUCUUCUCACUAUACUUCACCCGGAAGGGUUUGACUGUUAGACCGGAAGGUCGUGUGUGUUAUAUUCAUGCUAUGUCUAGAGAGGUAGAUGCUUUAUAUGUGAUGUGUGCUUAUAUGUGAUGUAUGCUUAUACGGGCCGGAAGGCGAGACUUUAUGUGAUAGAAAGAACGGUAUGAUGUAUGAUUUAUGUGUUAUGAGUAUUAUGUUACAUGUGUUAUGUUUUAUACUAUCAUGGGCCGGAAGGCAAAAUGCUAUGGGCCGGAAGGCAAUCUAAUACGGGCCGGAAGGCGAUAUAUAUUAUGGACCGAAAGGUCCGGGCCGGAAGGCGUAUGUGGGUAAGUCGUAUACUGGGGAACUCACUAAGCAUUUAUGCUUACUAGUUGUGUUUAUGUUUUUCAGGUACUAGUGAUGACCGUGGAAAGGCGCCGGCGUGACACGUACACACUGCCACUGUUGAAGAUCCUGGAGAUUUAUUAUUUAUAUUUUGAAACAAACUUGGAAUAAACCCUUUUGUCGAAUAAUGAUGUUUUGUUUUAAACGAAAAAUUUAUUUGAAAAUUUGAGCUGUUACAAUUGGUAUCAGAGCCUUGGUUUGAGGGAUUCGGGGGUACUUUUGGGUGCAACUGAACUCAGACCGGGGAUUUGAGGAAAAACUUUUUCUUAAAAAUGAUAAGGACGUAACAUUUUAUAAAGGGCAAGGCGGUAAAAACAAGGGUGGAACAGUGUGUACGAGCAGCCAGCGUCCGAACGGUAAAGAUCCCCAGAAUACCUUACGAUGUUAUGUUAUGCACUGAAUUAUGAAUUGUUAUGCAUGCUAGAAGACUAGGUAUACAUGAUAGGAAUAGAAUUGCCUGUUUUGUGAUGCCUUAGUCUAGGGAGAUUGCUUAUAUGAGAUAUUUGGUAGCGUGCAAGUAAAUAGUGCAUACUAGAAGUAGAGUACUCGUUAUUCGGGAUUUGGGGAGGAAGAUUUGGGACGAAUACUGAUACGGUGUGGUCGGUAGUAUUGGGCCCGUACUAUCGAAGGCACCGGAUCAGUGGAAGACUCAAAUAAGAAUCCCUGGAAAUCGGAGACUGGGUAGGGCGCGUAUCGAGUACAAUUGUACUUGGUGGAGUCUCUGAUGAUUUUAUGUUGUAUUUCAGAGACAUCAUGGUUAUCACACGCAAUGGGGCGAGUUCGAGCGGUGCGAGUGACGAGGAGAUUCGUCAGAUUAUUCAGGAAGAGGUAGCUGCGGCGGUCCGGGCUGAGAUCCCGGAGAUGUUUGGGUCUAUUAAGACCACGUUGAUGGAGGAGUUUGAGGAGCGGUGCGCCGCACUUACUGAAGCUGCAGUUGCUGCCGCUACCGCAGCGGUGGCUGCUGCCAGGCCGCAAGGGGGUGAUUCAUUACUAUUCAGGGAAUUCAGCAACACGAAACCCCCUGAAUUUGAUGGGACGCAGGAUCCGAUUGCAGCUAUGAGGUGGAUCGCCGACAUCGAGGGGUGCUUCUAUACUUGCUCAUGCCCGGAGCACUUGAGGGUACGGUUCGCCUUGAACCAGCUCCGUCUGGGAGCGAAGGAUUGGUGGAAGUUCGUGACGGCGAACUUCACUCAGGCAGAGAUUUCGGUGGUGACAUGGGAGAGGUUUACAGAGAUGUUCAGGGAUGAGUACGUUCCCCCGGUAGAGAGGGAGCGAUUGAUUCAGGAGUUCUUGACCCUUAAGCAGGGUACUGAUUCCGUGGCAGUGAUCACACGGAAGUUUCAUGAGAGGGCAAUGUUCUGCCCCGAGCUGGUAUCUACGGAGCAGUCGCGGAUGAGCCGCUAUUUGGGUGUUUUGAAGAGGGAGAUUCGGGAGUUUGUGUCAAACUCCACCUAUCGUACUUUCACUGAGCUUCAGGCGAACGCCAGGAAGCGCGAGAUUGAGUUGGAGACUCAAGCGAGGGAGGAGGCUGAGUCUCGGCAGGUGGAUCGACGGCCGGCCCAGUCUCAGCCGGCAGCCAAGCGGACUAAGUUCGCUGAUUCGAGGAUGGGAGGUUCGAAGGGUCGCACUUGCGCGAAGUGCGGCAAGAGUCACGAGGGGGCGUGUCGAGCUGGUGGUUGCUACAAGUGUGGCAAGGACGGACAUAUUGCCAGGGAUUGCCCUAAGGGGUUUAUGGUUUGCUUUCACUGCAACCAGACAGGCCAUCGGAAGGCCGAGUGCCCGCAACUUCGUCAGGGAGCUACACCUACUACCCGGACUACUGAGACCCGACCGGUGAAGGUCGAGGCCCCGAGGGCUCGCGGGAGAGCCUUUCAGCUGACUGCGGAGGAGGUCCGCGCUGCGCCCGAUGUUGUGGCAGGUAUGUUAUCUUUCAUGUAUUUAAUUAAAGGUCGAAAUGUUAUGCUUAUGUUAAUGUAUGUGUAGGUACUUUCCUUGUGAACUCUAUGCCUGCUCUAGUAUUAUUUGAUUCGGGUGCGAGUAGAUCGUUUGUAUCGUUAGCUUUUAGUCAGCACAUCGGCAUUAGUCGUGAGCCGUUAAGUCGGCCUUUGAGCGUUUCCAUUGCGGCUGAGAGGGUGAUUUGUGCUACGGAGGUUUUUCGGGGAUGUGUGCUAGAGAUCUUCGGGGUCGCAUUUCCGAUUGACCUAAUUCCUAUUGCGAUGGGUGAUGUCUGUGUCAUUGUAGGCAUGGACUGGUUGAGCCGAUUCAGCGCUGUCAUCGACUGCGAGCGUCAGUUGGUGACUAUACGAGACCCUAGUGGGGGAGUUCUUACGGUGUACGGCGAGGGUACCCGUUCGAGAUCAGCUUUUUGUUCGGCUGCUAGGGCGAGGCAAUGCCUACAGCGGGGAUGUAACGGUUUUGUGGCGUAUGUGAUGGAUACGCGGGAGAGUUCCGAGAGACCGAAGACAUUGAAGGAGGUUCCAGUGGUGCGCGAGUUUCCAGAUGUUUUCCCCGAGGAUUUGCCGGGAAUACCUCCUGCGAGGCAAGUGGAGUUUGGUAUCGACCUAGUUCCAGGGGCGGCGCCUAUUGCGAAGGUGCCUUAUCGUCUUGCACCUCCAGAGAUGCAAGAAUUGUCCUCGCAACUUCAAGAGUUGUUGGGGAAGGGAUUUAUUCGGCCGAGUAGCUCGCCGUGGGGAGCACCGAUUCUGUUCGUCAAGAAGAAGGAUGGUUCACACCGGAUGUGUAUCGAUUACCGGGAACUGAACAAGGUGACAGUUAAGAACCGCUAUCCGUUACCAAGAAUCGAUGAUCUAUUCGAUCAGUUGCAAGGGGCAUCUUGGUUUUCCAAGAUUGAUUUGAGAUCAGGGUACCAUCAGGUAAGGGUGCGGGAUGAGGACGUCCAGAAGACAGCCUUUAGGACGCGGUAUGGGCAUUACGAGUUCGUGGUGAUGCCUUUUGGGCUCACCAAUGCCCCAGCAGUGUUCAUGGAUCUCAUGAACAGGGUAUGCAGGCCGAUGCUGGAUCGGUCUGUGAUUGUAUUCAUCGACGACAUUCUGGUGUAUUCGCGGUCUAGGGAGCAGCAUGAGGGACAUUUGAGGGAGGUCCUUGAGGUACUGAGGUCGGAGAAGCUAUAUGCAAAAUUCUCCAAAUGUGACUUCUGGUUACGGGAGGUUCAAUUUCUGGGGCACGUUGUAAAUCAGGCAGGGAUAUUGGUCGAUCCGGCCAAGGUGGAGGCGGUGAUGAGAUGGGAGGCACCAAAGUCACCUUCGGAGAUCAGGAGUUUCCUUGGGUUGGCAGGGUACUAUCGAAGGUUCAUUAGGGACUUCUCCAAGAUCGCAGUGCCACUUACCAAAUUGACCCGAAAGGGUGUUACAUUCUCAUGGGGACCCGAGCAGCAGACUUCCUUCGAGACACUUCGUCAGAGACUGUGCGAAGCACCAGUAUUAGCCCUUCCUGAAGGGAUGGAGGACUUCGUCGUAUAUUGCGACGCAUCGAUUUCAGGACUGGGUGCAGUGUUGAUGCAGAGGGGCCAUGUGAUAGCCUAUGCAUCGAGGCAGCUGAAGCCUCACGAAGCGAGAUAUCCCACGCAUGACUUAGAGUUGGGGGCAGUAGUGUUCGCCCUCAAAAUUUGGCGUCACUACCUGUACGGGGUUCGUUGUACCAUAUACACGGACCAUAAGAGUUUGAAGUAUUUGAUGGAUCAACCCAACCUAAACAUGCGCCAGAGGAGAUGGUUAGACGUGGUUAAGGAUUAUGACUGUGAGAUCCUAUACCACCCAGGCAAGGCUAAUGUGGUAGCCGAUGCAUUGAGUCGUAGGGCGGAGGGUACUCCAUUGCGGGACGUAUGUUUGAGAUUGACGGUGGUGACUCCGGUAUUAGAUACUAUUCGUGGGGCACAGGCCGAGGUUGUGAAGUCUGGGAUGCAGAAACAGGAGCGGGUCGUCGGGUUAAUUUCAGAGUUCGUUACGGAUGGGCGGGGACUUCUGACAUUUCAGGGUCGGAUCUGGGUGCCAUUCGUGGGCGGUACGCGUGUCAUUUUGAUGGAGGAGGCACAUAGAUCGAAAUUCUCGAUCCAUCCCGGUGCUACGAAAAUGUAUCUGGAUUUGAAAAAGGAGUACUGGUGGCCUUGCAUGAAGAGAGACGUUGCGUGGUUCGUGGAGAGGUGUUUGACCUGCCGUAAAGUUAAGGCCGAGCACCAGAGACCGCACGGUAAGUUGCAACCCUUGGAGAUCCCUGAGUGGAAGUGGGAUCAGAUCACGAUGGAUUUCAUCACCAAAUUGCCGAAAACUGCCAGGGGAGUCGAUGCGAUUUGGGUGAUUGUGGAUAGACUAACAAAGAGUGCACAUUUCCUUGCCAUUAGUGAAAGUUCAUCAGCAGAGAAGUUGGCGGAGUUGUACGUGAGAGAGAUAGUAUCUCGGCAUGGAGUGCCGACCUCGAUUGUUUCGGACCGCGAUGUACGUUUCACUUCCAGGUUCUGGAAGAAAUUCCAUGAGGAGUUGGGUACUAAACUGCAUUUUAGUACCGCAUACCAUCCCCAGACCGACGGUCAAAGCGAGCGGACGAUCCAGACAUUGGAAGAUAUGCUUAGAGCGUGUGUGUUAGACUUCGGGGGUAGCUGGGAUGCGCAUCUGCCGCUGGCUGAGUUUUCCUACAACAACAGCCAUCAUUCGAGCAUUGGUAUGCCACCUUUUGAGUUGUUGUAUGGUAGGAGGUGUCGGACUCCCAUUUGCUGGGGAGAAGUGGGACAGAGAGUGAUGGGCAGUACAGAGAUCGUACUUCAAACGACUGAACAGAUCCAACGGGUGAGGCAGAGGUUAUUGACCGCCCAGAGCCGACAGAAGAGUUAUGCGGACAGACGCCGGUCCGAGCUCGAAUUCCAGGUCGGCGACUUCGUUCUCCUAAAGGUUUCUCCUUGGAAAGGGGUGAUUCGGUUCAGGAAGAGGGGCAAAUUGGGGCCCCGGUUCAUAGGUCCAUUUCGGGUAAUUGCAAGGGUAGGUCGGGUAGCUUAUCGGUUGGAGUUGCCAGCGGAGCUGAAUCAGAUUCACAAUACCUUCCACGUAUCACAGCUGAGGAAGUGUAUAGCCGAUGAGGCAGCAGUGGUUCCGUUAGAAGAUAUCCAGGUAGAUGCGAGUCUGAAUUACGCCGAGAGACCAGUAGCUAUCAGGGAUCGGAAGAUCAAGGUUCUACGGAACAAGGAAAUACCUCUGGUGUUGGUUCAGUGGCAACAUCGGAAGGGAUCGGAGAUGACUUGGGAGCCGGAAAGAGAAAUGCGGGAGCAACAUCCGGAGUUAUUCGCAGAAUGAGAGACUUCGAGGGCGAAGUCUAGUUCUAGUGGGGGAGAGUUGUAACAGCCCGGAAUUUCAGGUAUUUCUUUAAAUUAUUUUUGGGGCACAUUUAGGAGGGGACUCGGCGAGUUGGUGCACGACUCGCCGAGUAGGGCCAUGGUCUUGGUCGCAGACGCGCGACUGGACUCGACGAGUCCAAUAAGGGACUCGGCGAGUCGACGCCGUUCAGCUGAACCCUAGCCGUUUCAUUUCUGAUCGUAUAUAACGAUCUUAUGGCCGUCAUGUCGCGUCUUUUGGCCGGUUGAAGAUCCCCUGGGAGUGUGUGAGCAUCUGAAGCAAGAGAGAGGACUUGAGAAGGCUUGAAGAGAUUGUUAGACAAGGAGGAGCAAGGUGGUGAUCAAAGGAAUCGAGUACUGGAGGUUUGGAGACACAGGGAACACGUUUCCAGGUAAUCUUCGGAUCGAAAUCUGUAACUUUUACGUUGUAUGCGAGUUUAGGGUUUAGGAAACCCAAUUAAGGGUUAGUUAGAUUAUAUUGUUGUUAUAAGUGUUAAAAAACCCCGUAAUAGUAUAUGUGAAAGUCCAGGAAGCCCUAUAUCUAUAUACUUCGAAAUCAUGCGAAAUACAGGAGGCAGCGGAUUGACUGCAUGGCGAGGACUCGCCGAGUCCAAUGAUCAGACUCGGCGAGUAGCUUGAAGAUUCACUAGAACUCGCCGAGUUGUUCUUCAGACUCGGCGAGUAGCUUGAAGGUUCACUAGGACUCGUCGAGUUGUUCUUCAGACUCGGCGAGUAGCUUGAAGAUCUACUGGAACUCGUCGAGUCGUUCUUCAGACUCGGCGAGUGGUGUCAGGAUGUCUAUACUCGUCGAGUUACCCUUUGCACUCGACGAGUCCGGUCAAGAUUGACCGUUGACCUGUAUAUAUCUUAGAGGGGUCAGUUGUCUUGUUUGAUAAGAUCAUUAACUAAGGCUGUGGUAUUAUAGGGAACCUGCGGACUAGCGGAUUGUGUGCGAGUAGCUCGAAGAGGUUAUAGCCUGCGUACUACGAGGUGAGUCUUCUCACUAUACUUCACCCGGAAGGGUUUGACUGUUAGACCGGAAGGUCGUGUGUGUUAUAUUCAUGCUAUGUCUAGAGAGGUAGAUGCUUUAUAUGUGAUGUGUGCUUAUAUGCGAUAUAUGUUAUGUGGAUCGAAAGAUCCGGGCCGGAAGGCAAUGUUAUGUGGAUCGAAAGAUCCGGGCCGGAAGGCAAUGUUAUGUGGAUCGAAAGAUCCGGGCCGGAAGGCAAUGUUAUGUGGAUCGAAAGAUCCGGGCCGGAAGGCAAUGUUAUGUGGAUCGAAAGGUCCGGGCCGGAAGGCAAUGUUAUGUGGAUCGAAAGGUCCGGGCCGGAAGGCGUAUGUGGGUAAGUCGUAUACUGGGGAACUCACUAAGCAUUUAUGCUUACUAGUUGUGUUUAUGUUUUUCAGGUACUAGUGAUGACCGUGGAAAGGCGCCGGCGUGACACGUACACACUGCCACUGUUGAAGAUCCUGGAGAUUUAUUAUUUAUAUUUUGAAAUAAACUUGGAAUAAACCCUUUUGUCGAAUAAUGAUGUUUUGUUUUUAACGAAAAAUUUAUUUGAAAAUUUGAGAAAAUUUAUUUGAAAAUUUGAGCUGUUACAGUCCAACGAUACAAACCGGGCCGGAGGGCCCAACGUGCUAUGACCGGACUAGAGGCUCCAAUGAGCUACGAGACUAAAGGGUCCCGCUGCGACACAUCGACCGGAAGGUCAUGCUAUAGCCUCAAGUGGCGUAUGUGUUGUAUGCGGUGUUUUGGAGAACUCACUAAGCAUUUAUGCUUACAGUUGUUGUGUUAUGUGUUUCAGGUACUAACGAGGACUGUGGGAAGUCGCCGUCAUGACUCGUACACACUAGAGAAGGGAUAUGAUUUUCUGAUCUCGGGAAAUGUUAUGUUUCGAUAACUGUUGUUGAAUACUUUUGAGAAUAUUUUUAUAUAAAUUUGGUUGCUGAAAAAUGAAAAAUUUGUUUUGGAAAUUACGUUGUUACACUAUUUCAUGUAUUUGUCCAGCUGAUAUCUUGAGAACUGAGGAUUAUAUGGUUACUUAUUUGAAGGACGCGUCACUGACUAGGUCAGAUUUUGACAACGACUUUUGUAAGCUUAUGAUUGCUAAGUCAGAUCUUGAAGUGCAUAAGCAAUAAUAGUUAUUAGACCUAUCCAAGAGGGAGACUACUGUAUUUGGUGUCUAAGCCCAUAACUAUAAAUAGUAUGUACUUGACCCGAAUGUAGCAUGGUCCUUUUGGGUUGCCUUCACCAGUACAAUUUGAUAGGACGAAUUUUGAGAAUAAGGUUAUUUAUUAUUUAUUAAUAUAUUAUAAGUAUAAUAUAUUAAUAUGGAAUUAUUUAAUUAGUAUUGAUCAAGAAUUAAUUUAUUAAUUUUGUGAUCAAAAGAGACUAAUUAAAUAUAUGGGGAUUGAUUAUGUAAAUCAGUCAUUCUUGUAGUGUGGGCUAAGGAUCCAUGAUUAUGGGCUAAACUAAUCCAUGGAUAGUCCAUGGAGGUUGAACCCAUGGAGCAUGGGAAUGUCGAAAGUCGUUGGUUAUUAGGGUUUACCAAGUGUAACCCUAGCAUAUCCAACACUAUAAAUAGAACCCUCCAUAGACCAAAAUUGGUUGCCUCUUCUCUUUGUGAUAAAUAGAUUAUUAUCUUAAAUCAUCCUCUUGCAUAUUGGUGUUUGUGAACCAUUAGAUCCAUCAUACUUGAGGUGCUCAAGCUUUAAAUGGUCAAGAACAAGUCCUUCAAAUGGUUUGUCAUCUAACUAGAUGUUUUAUUCAACUGGUAAUUUGAAUGCUAGUUAGGACAAUGCUUUAGAAAACAUGAAAAUAUGCAUGUAUAAUAGAGAAAACAUAGAUCGAAAGCAUUUAGGGUUAAAUGUGCACCAUAGGAGUGUUAUAGUGCUCAAAACCCAACACGGAGGACUAAGGACUGGUUCCUUACCCUCACUGGGAGUGAUGACUUGAGAGUGACAGGGUAUAGUGAGACCAGCUUUCAGACCGACAAAGAUAAUUUCCGCUCUCGGUCGGGCUAGGUUUUUACCCCGAAUGGAGGAGCAAUAACCCGGAAAAGUUCCAAACAGGAUACUGUAGUUGAUUCAACAUGUGAAUCAGAGCAUAUAGCAGCAAGCGAAGCAACGAAGGACGCGAUAUGGCUGAUUAACUUCAUCGUAUACCUUGGAGUUGUACCAGCUAUAAAGGAGCCUAUGGAGAUUUUCUAUGAUUGUGAGAGUGUGGUCACCUUAGCCAAGGAAGCAAGGGAUCAUGGUAGAUCCCGGCACAUCGAGAGAAAAUAUCACAUCAUAAGACACCAGAUAGAAUAAUGACAGCUCAUAAAAAAGAGGGUAUCGUCAAAGGAGAACCCCACAGAUCCCCUUAUGAAGGGACUAGGUGGUGUUAAGUACUUUCAGCAUGCGAGGAGCAUUAGGAUGAAGGACGAUAUUAGUUUCGAUAAUUAGAUAGCUAUUUAGAAACUUGUAAUAGAUAAAAUGUAAUUGACAAUUGAUGAUUAAAUAAAAGGUGUUUUGUUUAUAAGUAAAUUUACUAUCUUGUGUCAAUUGUUUAGUAUUGUUUCAUUUUGCAUGUUGUGACUUCCGGAAUAAAUAAAUUAUUCAAACUAUCCACAGUCAUAAUACUUUGGAAGUAGGUAUUGAGGCAAGACUGUCAUGAAUUUGGCGUGUAGAUUGCCUUUAGUGUUUAGGCAUAGCAAAGUUUACUACAACAUUCAUGAGUGCUCAUAAGGUCUGAUUAUUGGAUUAAACUGACGCUUACUUGAAUCACUUCAUGGAAUUUAUAAUGAGUGAUUGUGAGACGAUAGUAUCAUAUUGUCUUCAAACCAAUAGAUAUGGGUUAUUGACUAUGAGUUGGUUGUACAGUGAUAGUGCGAAACCACAUUAGUACCUUGAUGCCAUAAAACGUGCUAUUGUGUUUGAUUUAACGAGUAGUUAGUACAAACAUAUGAGUCGAAGUUUAUCUAUUCCUUUUAAUCCUUGGAGGAUUAAAAGCGAUAUGUUGGGCCCCUCGAUGAUUAUUUUUCAAACAAUUAGAAACAUACAUAUGAGAAAGUGGUUCCAAUGAAGUAUUAUUUGUAAAGAGUUAGAAACAUCAAAUAAUCAAACAAUUAGAAACAUCAACUAAUGGCAUUAAGAUGUCGACAUAAAAAGUUGUGUUGCAGCUAUAACUUGGGCAUAUGUAUGAAUAUAUGUAUCGAUUGUUGACAUGAGACAUGAUUUCUCAGGGGAUCAAGAUGGAGCAGUGACAGUGUAUCUUAAAGUAAGUGUUUCACAUUUUAAGCCCCGAUUCUAAGCAUUUACCAGUGACAGUGUAUCUUAAAGUAAGUGUUUCACAUUUUAAGCCCCGAUUCUAAGCAUUUACCAGAAUCCCAUGUUGAUGGUUCCUUUCUAUUUUCAGUUGGAUUACAGUUUUUUCCGUCUAUUCGCUCUUUACCCUAAUAUCGAUUCUUUCUUAGAUUCAUAAUGGUAAUUUAAACUUUUGAAGUUGAUGGACAUCUGAAAGUAUUUUUUUUCUUCAAUGUAUUUCUGUUAAUUUUGUAAGGUUUCUAAAAUCAGUUCAAUUGUAAUCAACUUUUAAUUAUUAUAUUUUAUUUAUUUUUAAUUAAUAUUUUUUUUUUCUAAGUUAUUUUAUCAUUAUGAAUUUUCUUCUUAUUUCAUUUAAUCAGUAAUUUAGAUUGUUUAAAUUUAUCAUUCUAUUUAAUAAAAUAUCUCUAUUUAUUUUAUAUCUUUAUUUUUGUGAUUAAGAAUUCUUUAAAUAUAACCUUUUAAAUGUUUUGAAUUAAAUACAUUAGCUAUCAACAAAAUUCAAUUUUUUUUUCUUUUUGUAUUUUGUUCGAAUACGUUAUUUAAUUUUGUAUUUAGACAUUUUGUUUAUUUUGUACUUAUAUACGGGCUAAUCUGGAACGAUAAUAUGCUAGUCCGAAUGGGUUUGNNNNNNNNNNNNNNNNNNNNNNNNNNNNNNNNNNNNNNNNNNNNNNNNNNNNNNNNNNNNNNNNNNNNNNNNNNNNNNNNNNNNNNNNNNNNNNNNNNNNNNNNNNNNNNNNNNNNNNNNNNNNNNNNNNNNNNNNNNNNNNNNNNNNNNNNNNNNNNNNNNNNNUAUUAAAUUUAUAAUAAUAAUAAUAAUAAUAAUAAUAAUAAUAAUAAUAAUAAUAAAACGUUAUAUAUUCUUAUAUUAAAAUAAAGUUAUAAUAAAUUUUACAAUAGAGUUAUUAUAAAUAAGAAAAUCGUUAUAUAUUUUCUAUUAAGAAAACUAUUAUAUAUAUUCUAUUAAAGUAAAGUUAAAUAAUUUUAUAAUUUUACAUUUUCCCUUUUUUUAUAUCGUUAUUUAAACAUUUUUUAUGUGAUCAUAUAUUAAAUAUAAAAAUAAACAUAUGGAAUUAAUGCGUAUAACAAAAAUAAAAAAACUCAUUAUAUGNNNNNNNNNNNNNNNNNNNNNNNNNNNNNNNNNNNNNNNNNNNNNNNNNNNNNNUAACCAUAAAAAAACUGAAAAAAAAACUAAAAAAAAUACAAAUCAUAAAAUCAAGCAUAGAUCUAUGUCUGGAAAAAAAUAAUUGGAAAGAAAAUGCAUCAUUAAAAUUGAUACAUUAUUUAAUUUUAAUUUUUUAUUUUGCAUCAUUAUGAUCAAUGAAUUAAUUUUCAUAAUCCAAUUUUUUGUUCUCACGGAUAUCAAUAUAUGCUCUAUUUUAUGAUUUGCAAUUAUUUUAGAUUUUUUUCAAUUAUUUUUUAGGUGUGCUUAUAAGUCUUCACUUUAAAAUGAGUUAGUAUCCGAUCCUGUUACUAUAUAUANNNNNNNNNNNNNNNNNNNNNNNNNNNNNNNNNNNNNNNNNNNNNNNNNNNNNNNNNNNNNNNNNNNNNNUAUAUAUAUAUAUAUAUAUAUAUAUAUAUAUAUAUAUAUAUAUCCGUUUCAACUUUAACCGCUAUCUAUAACAUCUAAAAAGCUGCUAAAGCCCUACUCGCCUCAAUUACAUCGAGCCUAGCUUUACGGGUCAAAACCAACCCCAUUAGGGGUAUGGAAAGAGAUGCUUCCUUGCUUCAGGGACUCUCAAGAACGAAUUGGGACUCAGACUUCCCUACUAUUACCCUUUUUCAAGCUGUAAAUGGGGAACUUGUUUUUGGAACUGCCUUUGAUCUUACGCUCGUAGCGACUAGGUGCGUACCCUUGAAACUAUAUCGGGGACGAAACUCUUCUUUUAACGCCCAAAGAUAGGCCUAUGCAGUCCUUUCUAAUGAAGAUGGUGCAUAGGCCUAUCAAAAUGCUGUUGUCGUCAUUUCUUCUCUUUGCAUCUUCCCUGACCCCUCGUCACUGCAUUCUGAUCAUGUCUCUUAGAGAGAGAAUCUUGUGAAGCUGAGAUGUACAAUCUGAGGGAUUCAUGUCUUUUUCAAUUGAAUCACUAGUCUACUUAUUCUCACACGAACAAAGGGUAGGGUGAGGGAAAAGAAAAGGGGGGAAGCAACUAAAUUGAAGGCUUCGCUCCCAGAUCGCUUCGUGAGCUCAUUUAGUAGACAGCGAGUGUGCGCCCCUUUAGAGAAGAGAUAGGGGCGAGUACUACACGAGCUCGUAAGUCAAGUACGGAACGAGCCUUGUCUACGAAGCAGAGCGACCUCGUCUUGCUUGCUUCUGGCGAAGCUUCUAGCACUGGAUAAUAGGCAUGGCAGGAAUACGACUUUUUAGGUCGACCACUACACUACACAGAAGCAAUAGCAAAGCCAUGCCGUAUAAAAGGCGAGCAGCCCUUAUAGCAAUAGCAAACAACCUACUUAUAGCCCUUCCCAAUUUCCAGUAGUAAACUUCCCAAGUUUAAGCAGGAUAACCCCCUCUCUAUUCUUCUCUUCAUGUGUGUGGGCUGCCUACCCCGUCCCGAAUAGACGAACAGGAACAAGCUGAAGAAGCGAGAGAGAUUUGAGAUUCCAUAAGUAACUCAAUGCUAAGAAAGAAGGGAUUGGAAGAAAAAAAUGAAAUGCGAACAACCGCGCUGGUUGUAAUAGAUCGACUUUCAUGCUAGUUCUUGCUCCAGCAUGAAAGUUCCAUUUCAGGGAAGGACGACGUACUAUGAUACUUUCUGUUUUGUCGAGCCUUGCUUUGGUCUCUGGUUUGNU